Molecule: long non-coding RNA, 67059 nt
Filed under: Brassica rapa (field mustard)
Lineage: Eukaryota; Viridiplantae; Streptophyta; Magnoliopsida; Brassicales; Brassicaceae
Description: long non-coding RNA (BRAP_LNC000792)
Rfam family: tRNA (bases 62184-62267)
Source: RNAcentral
UCGAUUGUAGAACGUACACUAAUAAUACAGCAAAUAUUUAAUUAUGAAAUUUAGGUAUGAUGAUCUCUUAAUUAAACCCCAGGUGAUGAGACUAUAUACAAAGUUCAUAUAACGUAAAAGGUGAUCUUUAUAUCAUCUUGACAAUUUUUAGAUGAUCUUAAAUCUUUAUUUUAUGACUAUGUAAUGUCAGUCAAAAAGGAGUUUGAACUCUGAAAACAUCCAAACAUAUUAUCAAGAUACAUUGGUGAGUGUGAAUUUCACAAAAAUGGAAUAGACAACAAAAUUACAAAAUCUACAACUCUCGAGUCUCGAUCUCAUCUUUUUCCUCGUAUAUAGUCCCCAAAGAAGGCGAAGCUGAGGCCCUCACCGGGAAAGCAUGAAUCGCCGGUACAACUUCCAAAGGUCCCAUCAUUCUCGCCUUUCUCUGUUAAGGAAGAUAGCUGUGCAGUCAGUUAUUUACCAUGUUUGGAAGCAGAGAAACAAUAUGGUCCACAACCAGAAAUCAGUUACACCGUCUAUUGUGUUUCAGGGUAUAGACAGGGAGAUCAGAAACAUCAUUUCCUCCAGGAGACACAACAAGCGCUUCAGGCCUCUCAUGACCCUUUGGUUGAGAUAAAACUAGAUUAGCUUAGCUAUCUUUUGUUGAUGUUAUUCCCUUUGUCCCAUCUUGUUUUUAUUCUUUUUUGCCAAGACGGUGCAGAACUAAGGUCUUUACUUUGUAAAAUCUUUCUUUCAUCUAUGAUAUUUACAAUUUAGCAAAAAAAAAAAAAAAAGAUCUCUUUGAAUUAGAGUUGAUAAGUAUUUUCGGCUUUGCUCUGUAGUUGAGUGUGGAGUUUAUCGAAUACUAGCUAGUGAUACUUAUAGAGAGAUGAGUCGUAAUCAUCGUGUAAACAAAUAUGUAAUGAAAGACGCGGUCUUAUUUGUCGCACGUGAUAUUUAUGUUCCAUAUAGAGAUUGACGCGCUUCAAGUAAAAAUAAUGAGGAGUGACGCGUAUACUGCUUACGUCGCGGACACAUCUGCAUGCCCUACAUGAGAAAGACUACUAUAAAAUCAUCUCACCAAACACAAAUACUGUAAUUCUAGUUUCCGGUUUAUUUUUGGUUUGUUGUUGUCCGGUUGUUCUGAAAAUUUAUCUAUGGUUUGAUGGAUACACUUCAGUUUUCUUCAGUAUUUUUCUUUCCUUAAUUCGUUUGUAUGAAAUAUCUAUUUGAGCCUGGUUCCUUGUAUCGUAUAGGUUUGUAUAGAAAAUACACAGUCAUCAGCUCAAAUUCGAAGAUAUUGUAUGUGUGAUAUUAGGAAGUGGUCAUAUCGAACAACAAAACGUGAAAGUUCCAAACAAAAAUCCCAGAGAAAUAUUAUCAUAAUUUAGUUGAGAAACAGAUAGACUAUAUAUUAACUAAUUAUCAUGAUGAGAUGUCAUUAUAAAUAUACAAAAUCUCAUCUUAUACAUUUAUAACAAAAUACAAAACAAAAGAUUACUAAUACGAAAGUUAAAAUGAUCAUCAAAGGUCUUCCUCAUCAUGUUCUUGAUCAUCUUCUUCGGUCUCUCGUUCUUCUAAAAUAGUCUCAAGAACCGGAGUAGUAGAUGGCUUCUCCGGAUAAAUUAUCCGUGGAGGAGCCGCUUCCAUCCACCAUGCCACAUCUCUUUUUACUUUAGUCAAGUUUCGGUCGCCCCUGCUAUAAAAGAAACACAUGAUCCAGAGAUUUGAAAACUGUAGAAACAAUUAAAGAUACUACGUUUUUUUUUUUGUAACUAAAUAUACUACGUUUUGUGUUGAAGAAAGUGUUAUAGUUGAAGGACAUAUAUAGAGAAAGAGAGAAUGAUUGGUUGAUUUGAAUGGUGGACGAUCCAUAGUGAACAAUGUUGGUUCUUGUCGACUUCCUCGUGUUUGCUAUAAACCAUAUAAAACGAUGAAACCUACAAGAAUAUUCUAGAACCUCAAUUUUUUUAAAACUACAUGAGAGCAACACGCGUGUAUCUUUAUGCUCCUACACGUUCCUUUCAAAUGCUAAGAUAUUUUAUUUAUGCGUCGUAUGUCGCAUUUGUUCAGCUACAUCACCCAAGCAAAAUAAUUAAUGGCCAGAUUUUUUGCGGUCAAUCAAACGCUAAGAUAGUUAACUAGUAUCUCGGCAAAUAGGCUGCACUAUAACACAGUUUAAACUGAGUUUUACACAUUCGACUUUUAUGUGCUCAACUAAGACAAUCCUUUUUAAGUAAUUGAAGACUGAAACGAUACACAUUCCUUGAUAAUCAAAGUGGUAAAAGCUUUCAGAAAUUUAUACAUUCUUUUGGACGUUUAAUACAAUGAUUUCGAUGGUACAAUGGGUUUGAUUUUAAGUCUAAACGUUUCAAGUAGCAUAGACAAUCAUAUAGGCCCACAUUAGAGUAUCAUGAGCUCUUUCAUACUUAUGGGUUGACGAUAUGAGCAAGCCAUGAGAUCAAAUCCCGGUUAAUUCUGGUCUACUACAAUCCUGAUACACUGUAUGAAUCUACCAAGUCUAACCAUUAACAAAAAAAAAAGAAAAAGCUUAAGAGGGUCAAACAGAGAAAUAGUUUUUACAUAAAACGAGUAAGAAACUCUAUUGUCCAUCUAAAGUGACAAAAGCAUCCUUAAGAAGUCGCUGUGCUUCUUCUCUCCUCCUACACACAAACCAAAACAACACUAUUACUAAUUAAUUGUCUGCUUAUUUCCCAUCUCCAACACAUUGAAAUAACUACCAACAAUUUUUUACAGAUUCAUCAUAGUUUAUAGAUUGAUCUCGAUACCAUUAAGCCAAAAAAAAGUUCAAAGAGCAUUACAAACCUCUUAAUGUCCUCCACAGCUUGCUUCCGCUGUUGAAUCUGAAGCUCCAUAAUGUGAAUAAGCGUUGCUCUCGCCUGAACAUCAAUAGAAGAUUAAAAACAAUUAAAACCGACGAAAACAUGUUGUAAAACGGGAUCUUCUUACCUGGUGAGGCCUCAAUGAAUUGAGAAGGUGAUGCAAAUUCUUAAAGAUGGACGAUAUAUCACCAAUCCUCUUAGCAUACUGAGAAGGCCUCUCAACGAGAACAUCAGCAAGCUCCAGUAUAUGCAACUGAAGCUCCCUAUUCAAAGACCUAAGUUCCUUCUUGUAAUCUACACAACGAGGACAUCAUCAAAACCAUGCUCAUCAACUCUAGAAGCUUCUAGAAGAAAGACAUUACCAACAUUAGAGUCUUUGGGAUAAAGCUGAGGCACUCCUUGCUCUUCUAAGCUUGGAAGAACAUCCUCAGUCUAGCAACCAAAAAUUCAAAAGUGAAACUCAUAAAGUUUGAAACUUUGAUAAAGAGGAAGAAUCUCACAGUGUAAUUGCCACCGAAACAAACGUAGGUUCCUUCGAUCGGAGGCGGAGGUUCAGGAGCGGAGCUAGGGUUUUCGGAGUAAUCCUUGUAGAGUCUGUAGUACGGAGGAGGCGGCGGGUACGUAGCUGUAGCCAUUCUCCUACAAUCAGAUCGUAUAUAAUCGUCACUAAUUACAAAGAUUAGGGGUUUCUAAUCGAUUCGAUGAACGACGUUACAAUGCAAAUCUCGAUCUAUAUUCUAAAGACUUGGCGAUUUUUGUAGAGAUUGAAAUGGAGGAACACUAUGGUUUACAUCGAAAGGACAAACCUUUUUGGGGGAAACGAGGAAGAUCGAAGGUGGAAGGAGCUUGAUUUGAGCUUCGGAGAUGAUGCGACGACGGCAAGGAGCGAGGAAGAAGGACGGUUAAAUCAGAUUGCCAAAAAUGUGGUUCUGUGGUUAGCCUUUGUGGGUUACCGGUUUAAUCAGACGGGUAGAGUAGAGUCGGUUUAGUUCAGUUUGAUUAACAGUUAACUAGAAUUUGAAGUCAUUUUAUUUUACGUAAAUUUUUAGAGCUUCAGAUUUUCGUUAAUUAAUUUAAUUUAAAAAUAUGUUAUUUAUGUUAUUAUUUGUAACUAAAAGUUUCAGCUAAACAUUUUUAAAUGAUUAAAAACUAGUACAAUUCACAACUUUAAAUUGUUUGAUAACAUUAAGUUUCAAACUAUUUUAUAAAAUAAAAAGUUCAACUACACUAAUUUCAAAUGAUGUUUUAUAUUUUGAUGCAAUUUCCAACUGAAUACUCGCUCAUAUAUUAUCAUCAUUGAGAUUUUAUGGUUUUAGGUUGGCUUAUUGUAGAAACUCGGAAACAGUAAACAAGAGAUCUUGUUGGAAAAUAUUUAGAUACAUUUCUUAUGCAAAUUAUGGGGUCUUGUUGUUGUUGUUCAGCCCCACAUGAAACAAUCUCAAGCACACAAAGCGACAGAAAGAAAAAUACAAUCAACAAAGAAUGUCAUCAGCGACUUAAACAAAUAUAUAGGAAGAAGAAUCGAGUGAAUGUGUUCCGGUUUCAGAUUCUUAACAUGAUGGAUAGUCCUUGGGCGGUGGUAGAACUGAAAGCUCAGGUGUAUUCCCGUUCUCGACGACGAAAGCCAUCUUCAGACCCCACAUUGUGUGGACUUCCAAGUGACAGUGCAUAAACCAAACACCUACAACAUUAACAUUUGUUUCGAUCAGUAAAGCUACUUAUCAUAUAUAUGUUAUCAUUCUCAUCAUAUAUGUGCAAUGAUAAAUCGUACCUGGAUUAUCAGCCCUGAAUCUGAUGGCGGCCCAACCACCAGUAGGUACUCCAACCGUGUUUCUCUCGGGUGGGUCAAUGAGAUUAAACUUAGCCGGAUCUGUCUUGGGGUCAAAGUUUCCAACACCAGUUCCAACCACAAAGAAGUUGUACCCGUGAAGAUGGAAAGGGUGUGACUCAACGGUUAGGAGAUUGGUGUCUUGCAAAACUAGCUCAAUUGUCGUGUUGAACUUAACUCGGCUCAGUCUUGUCCCCGUAGAUGUCCCGAGGUUAGCCGUGAGUGGCACCCCGGUGUAGUUAAACGCUUUAGGCGGUCUAUCAGGAAAGUCUGUCCUGAAAACUCCUGGGAGGUUGAAGUAAUGAGCUUUCAAAAGCGCGAUUUUCGGCAUAACGAAAGUGAUGUUGUUUAUGGAAGCAGCGAGAUUGGUUCCGUUCACACAGGUCGGGCAAGCGUUAAUGCCUAGCCCGAUCGUGUAGAACAAUCUACGGUCGACUUUUAAAGGAACAAGAGCUGGAAAGUUUGGUGUGUUGAGACUCCUAAGCUUUCCGUUAUAGUCCAAAGCAAAUGAUGUGUCGUUAGGUGAUGGAAGCUUUGGUAAGAUUGGUAUGACCGUGUUUGGUACGCCUUUGUAUUGAAGGAUCGCGGUUGCGGUUUUGUUGUCUACGGAUACCGGAGCGUCCAUGAACGGACCAGCUGCCAUGAAGUAACGGUUUGGAGAACUGUCAGUUUUGACUAAAACGUUUGUGGUCUGACCUGGUCCGAUUAGAAUAAACUUGGUUGUGAAUGGUUUGGUGUAGACUGCAUCGAUCUCCACCACGGUCAUGUCGUGACCGGAAAUCCCGAAGAAUAGCUCGUCAUUUAGUGCAGCGUUGAUGAUCCUCAGAAGGUAUGUUUUACCGGCUUCCACCUCCACCACGAAUGUGUCUAUACAGAAACAAAUAUUUUAACUAAAAUGAUAUGAUCUGGUUUAGUUUAAUUAAAAGUUAACUAGAUGUUAUAAUAAUCUUGUUUUAAAAUAUGCAAUUUAUAUUAUUAUUUGUUUCUAUUCAAAAAAAAAGAUAUGAUCCGGUUAAAACCGGUUUUAUAAGGUUAAGAAGUUAUACGUUUCUCGGAACAUGGAAAGAGCGGUCCUGGUUUUCCGUUUAUGGUAUGAGCAUCUGACAUCGGAGGCGGUGCACCCAACUGGUUGGCUUGGUUAACCGCUGUCUCAACGUCUCCGUUCCACCAUUCUCCUAUAAACAAAGUUUUUUAAAAAAUAUGAGAAAAAGCCCGGUAAAUUUGAGCAGGCUAGACCAAACCGGUUUUAAUUAUAUUCACUAACCGAGGACUAUGUUGGUUUCUUGGUAUGGUUGUGGGAAAGGAUAUGGUUUUCCUGGUUGAGGCAAGAUGACAAUAGCUCCAUACACGGUGGCUCUUAGCCAGAGGAUGUGUGCAUGCCACCAGAGAGUCCCACGUUGUCCAGUCACGUUGAAAUCAUAAACAUAACUUUGUCCGGUCUGCAUCGGACAUUGAGUUAUGUACGCUGGACCAUCUGCCCAACCAUUUCGGUACUGUUUAAGUCCAUGCCUAUAAAAACAAAACGUUAAAAAAUUGGCUCACAAAAAAACAUAGACUAAACGGGUUUGAGACGUAGGAAAGAGAGAUUUUACCAAUGGAUGGACAAGUUGUAUUUUACGUGGUUGGUGACGUUGAUAAUGACUCGAUCACCUUCUCUUGCGUAAACCGUUGGUCCAGGGAACAUUCCAUUAACUGUGACAAUCGGUUUAGCAUUGCAUAACCGGCUUACGUUCUUCAUUUGAACCUGUUCAAAAUUUCAAACGUUGAUAUACAACAAAACCCUACAUAUAUAGUAAUAGUAUAACUCAACAAUAUAAACCAGGUAGUCAAACCAGUAUAUAGUUUAGGUUACGGUUUAUAUUCACCGGGAAAUCAAAUACGUACAUCGAAUUGGUACUUCUUCACCGCCGCAUCCACCGGAGAAUCGCCAAGAAACCCAAGAAGAUAAAAGAAAAGAAAGAGAAAACCCGGGUUUAGGAUCUUCAUUUCCGGUUCAAUCUUCCGGUAUAUGCAAUGAUCAGGUUUUAUUUGUAUUUAAACUUUUAUUGCUCUUGGUUAUACAAAUUGUAUUGUAGAUAUCGUGGCUGGUUACAAAUGCUUAUAUAAUGUCAUAGUGCAAACAAAAGGUGGUUGGUGAAUCUCUCAGAAUAUAUAAAAAUAAAAUUUCUUAGAUCUAUAAAAGAGAAUUGAAUAUGGAAAACGGAUUAAACUAUAUUAUUAAGAAAAUUUUGAAAAUAUAUAAUCGAAGAAGAAGGCUUUUAAGCAACUUUCUGAAAGACGUUGGCGAAUCAGCGUUACGUUUGUUAAUAAUAUGGAGUACCUUCGAAGUUGAUAUCUGAGCUUUAAAUUUAUAUUUUUGACUUUUUUGUUUACCAUGAAAAAUUAUAAAAUACAAAUAUUUCGGUUCAAGUCUCUCCAAUUCAAGAAAGUUUCUAGAUGCAUUCCAACACUUGUUUCGUUGUCCCAAAAACCCUAUAACUCAAAAUGAAGCUUUCUUAACAAAACAUCCUCAGCUCAAAGGCAUUAACUUCUUUUGAGAAAUUUAAUUAAAUUAUUUUUCGUAAGCCUAGUUUUAACCUUUUGAGAACUUAAUUAUUUUUUUUAGAAAUAGGUCGAUUGUUUAUAGAUUUUGAAGAUUGUCCCAGUAUACUUCAAUAUUAACACAUAACCCCUUAAAAUAUUACUAGGGAUUACAAGGCUAAUAUUUGAUUUUUGAAAACUCUCUUUGCAGUAACAUGUUGCUUAGCCAGUCGUUAAGUCUUGUAUAUUUAAAUUUUAUUGGCGUAAACAUUUGUUUGCAAAUAGUGAUGUGUUUGGGUAAGGGAAAAUGACUGGUCUUUGAAUCAUGUUAUUUUUUUGUAUAUCAAUUUUCCAACGAGAUCAUAUGUAUAAGUUUCAAAAAUUAAAUCUCAACCAACGUAUUUUAAUAUACACGUACGGAAGUUGGCCAAUUUAUCAGGAAAUUACGCUAUUGACUGGUCAUUUUAUACAAAUUUGUUGAAUUGUCCAAAAGCCCAUAUGUAAAACAAUAAGAUCUCAUUUUCAUACUAAGUAAACCCAAUUGAGGUAAUCUCCACAGGCCGAAAUGGGAUGUACUGCUAGUAUGACAUACAAUCUCCAUCUAGUUUUAUAUACUCAUCAUACACACACAUUUAAUUAGUUUUAAUUCUUGAUAUAUAUGAUUUAUCACUCAUUAAAAAUAAAAGGUACUGCAGAGCUCCUUUGCUUCUAAGUUUCUUAGUUUCUGAAUACAUUGGGAGGUCGAUUAGUGAAACCACAAGUUUUUAAAAUGAAACCAGAAGAAGAAGUAUUAGGCUUGACGAUAGAGGUUGACAUUAGCGAAUAAGCGAUAUUUUUUAGAAGUUAUUUAUAUAUGGAUUAAGAAUAAAGCAUUCGCUUUGUUUUUUUACACUUAUUGGUGAUCAUCAUCAUUCUACGGCGUCAACACAGUCAUAAAAUAUGGUUAUAUUGGGGAAAUAAUUCUUAGUUAAAUAACCAAGCUGAGGAUAGAUUUUAUAAAUGAGUCAUAAAAUAUGGUUAUCUAGGGGAAAUAAUUCUUAGUUAAAUAACCAAGCUGAAGAUAGAUUUUAUAAAAUGCCUCAAAGAUGAGGAUAAGGAUCUUCCCAUUAAAUUUUUUAACUUGUCUUUGGAGCUUUACGAACUUUCCAUUUCCACAAUUUAUUCGUCACUUUAUGUCCAACUACUUUUUGGAAGUCGGCUAGAUGGUCCAUUAUGGGAUGGUUUUAUAUAUAACUUGUUGGCGGAAAACCGAUCUGAGUAUUGGUUUAUUUGCUCUAUAAAUAGAUAAACAGAUUUAGACGGACAAAUUAAGUGAGUUACUAUUUAAAGUAGGUUAAAUUUACCGAUUAGUAAGUUCGUUUUCGUUUCAAGAAAGCAUACAACUGAUAAAGACUUUAGCUAUAAAUGCGAAAUUGGUUUGUUUACCAAUCGGGUUGCUUAUCCUAGAUCAAAUAAAUUUAUGCAUGAGUGGUCAUGAAUCUAAGAAAAAAUAUAUGUCAAAUCAAAAUAUUUUCAAACAUCACAAUUUUUAGAACUUUUGCUUACUAUUUAAUGUUUUUGACAAAUUUGGAUUAUGGAUUAGGAGAGACAGCACAUUUCUUUUGCAAAAGCGAAUUAUGUCGUAUUAACGUGACACUAGUAAUGUAUAGCAAAGGCCCAUCAAUGGCAUAGUGACAGAUUCGUGUUAUAAUAAAUUAGCAAUUCUACCAGGUUCUCAUUUUGCCACGUACUAUAUAAUUUAUAUAAUCCACUUUGUUUAACCUCUGCUAUUUUUGCUUUAUCUUUUAUCCUCUUUUAUCCAAACGAUAUUUGAAAUACUAGGGUUACGUGAAUUGCAAAAGUGACUACAAUAGCGACUUCUAUGAAAAGAAACAUGAUAGGAUGACAAGUUUUUCAGGAGAUAAUCGAUACUUUAUUUGUCAGGGCCAUGCAAAUAACUAUUUUAGUUCUUGGGGAUAUGGACAAAUAUGCAACUUUGAAGAAAAUAUAUAUAUUUACGGGAUAUAUGUGUUAUGAGGGUUAUAUAGUGAAUCUUUGAUCUAUACAUUUUUCACUUAUCUCUCAUUUUGUUAUAGAAAAUACUGAUUAAUAAUUUAAACAACCGACUAAUCGCAGUAUUUGUAUUAUUGAUGGGAAACAGAAAGAAAUUCAAAACAACGUAUGAAUUGCUGUUUUAUUAGUGCCAACUUAUAGACCAAAUAAUAGAGAAAUAGUGCUCCACUCGUGUGAGGGCCAUUUUGGGAUUGUGCUAUCAGUUAGAAUUUAGCUGAAUGCAAAAAUAAGCAAAGGCCAAAAAGUGGUACACACGAAUGGCCACGUUUCUCACGUGCCUGAUUAAACUUUCUCACUAAAAAUAUCUCUGAAAGAAAGAGAUCCACGUUAUAACAAAAAAAGCAGAACGUAAGAAAGGAUUGUAAUAGAAGAAGAGAGAGGUAACCAAUUGUAGUAUUUGUCUAUAAAAACAAUUUUUCCUUUGACAUCAUAAGAAUCAGUAACAAACUUAGAGAAAAGGUUUAGACUUUGACAAUGGAGGAUGCAGGGGAGAAAAUUAGAGAGAUGACAAAGGAACACAGUUCAAGGUUUAAGAGCAUUUGCGUCUUUUGUGGGAGUAGCAAUGGCAAGAAAGUUAGUUAUCAAGAUGCAGCCAUUGAUUUAGGCAAAGAAUUGGUAAAAAUAUAUUGCAUACGAUCUUUUUUCUUCAUGUUUCUUUUUCUUUCAUUUUCACCUGUUGAGAUCUCUUUAUAUUUUUUUCUGGUAAAAAGAUCUCUUUAUAUUUUUGAAGAAAUUAUUUAUUUUUUAUAUAUGCUAUCAGCUGAUCCGGUCAUUUUUAUAACGCUGGUAUUUAUAUUUGUAAAUUAUUCGUCACAUUCAUCUGGUAGUGUGUAAAACAAUUGCAUUUAUCUACAAGAACAUCAUGAGGGUUUAAAAAAGAAGAUUGAGUUCUAUAAAAUUAGUGAAGAGUUUAUACGUCAAUUAUUGUUUUUUUUUAAAUAGGGAAAAGACAAAGUUUAGGUUUCGAAACUUUGAUUGUCAGGUGGCGAAGAACGUUGAUCUUGUUUAUGGUGGAGGGAGCAUAGGUUUGAUGGGUUUGAUCUCUCAAGCUGUUCAUGAUGGUGGUCGUCAUGUUAUUGGGUAAUAAAUGGCACAUAAUUUACAUCAUUGAUUUUUUUUUUACCGAUGAUGAAAUAAAUGUAUGUUUUUAAUCCUAUGAUGCAGAGUAAUCCCAAAGCUCCUCAUGUUGCAAGAGGUACGUAUUUGUUGACUUAUUUAUGAGAAAAUGGGAGGAGUAAUGAUAAUGGUGGUGAUAUAACUUAUGCAUUUUGUUAACUUAUUUCUCACAAAAAAAAAAAAGAUUACUGGAGAGACAAUAGGAGAAGUGCGGGAAGUUGCAGAUAUGCAUCAGAGAAAAGCUGAGAUGGCUAAGAAUUCUGAUGCUUUCAUUGCUUUACCUGGUAAAUAUUAUUUGUUUAACCUCUUUCUCUUUUUUCUAUUGCAAUUAAUAUCAUUUUGAAAAAUUCAAAACAUUUUUGAUAAUUCAUUUGUGAAAACCUUGCCACUAAAUUUUGAGUUACAAACAAAAAAUUGAGUUACAAUGAAAUGUUCAUAACAAGACAUCCAUUUUCCUUACGAAUAUAUAUGGAUUCGGACUCACAUGUUUACACAUGUACUAACUAAAAUACAAUAUGAUGAAGUAAUUUUAGCAUUGUUAUUAUUGAUAAUUUUGGUGAUGAUCUCUAUAAGUAUGUUUCAAAAGUUAGUUUGAAUUUAGGUUCAGAAUUUCUCAAUUAUAGAUUAAAUAAACAUACGUGAUUGUUGGUGUUCACUGAAUUUCUUGAAAGUUAAUUAGUUAGAUGUGUGGUGUUUUGUUUUUUUCCUACCUACAUUUAUGUAUUUAGUGCUCUAAUAUUGUUUUUUUCAUUAUACAUAACACUUUUCUUAAACACUUUUCUUUAAGAAGUGCGUUUAAUGAUAUGUAACAUGUGGUUGAUAUGAUAUAUGGAAGAUCCCAGGCCUCAAAUAAUUAAAAAAAAUCACGAUAAAUAGCUUUAAAAUAAAUUGAAUUUUCCUUUUGAUCCAUCAACAUCCAAAAGCAGUGGAAUUUAUAUGUCGACGACAAGGACACCUAUUUCUUAUCCAAUCGGAAAUAUUUUAAAGGACGCACAAGUGAUUUGAUUUUAAUAAACUUUAAGUAAUUUUAGUUAAAUUUGAAAAUUUGGUAUGAUUUUUGUUAACUAUUUUAGAAUUUUAUUUUAAAUUAGGAGAAUUAGAUUUUUAUUUUUAUAAUUAAGAAACUCUUUUCAAACACACUAAAACACUUGAAGUAUUCUAAAAUCUACAAUUUAAAUUUUGUUCAAUAAUAGUAGAUUCCAAAACACUUUAUAAAAUUAGUAUUACCAGAUAAAGUUAGUAUACUGUUAUAUAAAGUUUACGAGAGCGAAUAUUUGGAGAGGGACAGAUUGAGAUUAUGUAGCAAUUUGUAAUGAUCAUCACUAGUGCACUAACCUUUGACCUUUGACUUUAAAAGUACCAAAGACAUAUUAGAGGUCAAAAAUGAAAAAAAAAGGGAUGAACUAUCUACCAAAAAUUUACCAUUCAUGCCACUUUAGCAAUUGAAACAAGUCCUCACUGUCAUCAGGUGGCUAUGGUACACUAGAGGAGCUACUUGAAGUGAUAACUUGGGCACAACUUGGAAUCCAUGAUAAACCGGUAUGUAAAUCGGGUUAGUUUGUUUACAAGACACAUACUAGCAUUAACCGAUGGAUUGAUUGAUAUAAUAUAAGUUUUUUUUUCUCGCAGGUCGGUUUAUUAAACGUUGAUGGAUAUUACAAUGCUUUGCUAUCCUUCAUCGACAAAGCGGUCGAAGAAGGAUUUAUUCUUCCAGCCGCUCGACAUAUCAUCGUAUCCGCGCCAACCGCAAAAGAGUUGUUUGAGAAAUUAGAGGUAAAACCGAUAGAAGUUACAUUUAACCCUAAACAUAUUCAAAUCUCCUUCUGGCGUAGGACUAAUUUUGGUUUGAUAUUUGGUAGUCAAGCCACUGAAUAGAAUAUGUAAACAAGUUUUUCUAAUUGAAAACGCUAAUGUAAGUCCAAGUUCGGUUUAACAAUACUGAUCAUGUUGAUUGGUUUAUUGCAGGAAUACGUGCCUCAUCACAACAAGUAGACACAUCAAAUUUGAGUUUCGAGACGAGUCAUAAUGAAAGUGUUGAAAAUUUGAUAUUUUUCCGAUGAUUUACGAUUGAUUAUUUAUUAUAAAAAUCAAAGUUCGGAUUGAAAUAAAGAGCAUACAUUGUAAAUAUGUUUUCUGAAUUUUGUUCACGCAAUAUCUGAAAUUUUGUAAUAUACUAUAAAGUAAAGAAAACAUACUAUAAAGUACGUAUAAGUGCAUUAUGUUUUAAACUAUAGUGAGUUUAUAUAAGUCAUGUAAUUUUUUUUUUUUUUUUUGUAACCUAAGUCAUGUAAUUCAAUACGCAAAUGUUUAAAAUCUUCUGAACAAGGUCUCACUGAUGCUAAGGUUGUGUUGUAUUAGGACGAUGCAACAUAACUUGUACAUUCAUCCAAACAAAAUAUCGGAUAAACUUGUUGUAUGAUGUUCAAUAAGGUGUCACAUGUUAUCGCAUGCACAACAAGGUCAAUACGAACGCGUUUCAUGUCUACUACCCUCGUUAUUGGGCUGACAUAGAAACAAAUAUAAAUCUUUACUGGGCCUUAGUUUCCAAGUUCGUUCCGUUUUCUAUGAAAACGUAUCCACUCCCUGCCGUUUUACAUCAGUCCUUAAGUAUAGACACUACGCAGCGUUUUAACGGAAGAAGAAACAUUCACCGUCUUGCAAAAUAUCUCCGACUCGAAUAGUUUCGUCGCUGCGUCCCGUUGGUGCCUUGAAGAGAUGACCAUGGCGGCAGCAACCUUCGCGAAACGCCUGAUCGGAAGCCGAUCUAGCUCAACCGCAGCCACUUCCUUCGCCAGAGCUUUCUGCUCGUCCACCACUCCAAUCACCGCAACCAUGUUCCCCGGAGACGGGAUCGGUCCCGAGAUCGCCGAAUCCGUCAAACAGGUUUGGAUUACAUAUACGAUUAGUCAAUUGCAGUUUGAUAUAAAUUUGUUUGGUGAUGAUGAUGAUCGAAGGUGUUUACGACGGCUGGAGUGCCGAUUAACUGGGAAGAGCACUACGUCAGCGCCGAGAUCGAUCCGAGAACGCAGAGCUUCUUGACCUGGGAGAGUCUCGAAUCCGUGCGUAGGAACAAAGUCGGUUUGAAAGGUCCGAUGGCGACUCCGAUCGGGAAAGGCCACCGUUCUUUGAAUCUGACUCUUAGGAAAGAGCUGAAUCUGUACGCUAACGUUAGGCCUUGCUAUAGUCUUCCUGGCUACAAGACUCGUUACGAUGAUGUGAAUCUAAUUACUAUUAGGGAGAAUACUGAGGGAGAGUACAGUGGGCUUGAACAUCAGGUUUUUUGAAAUUUUUGAGGAAUUGUUUUUUGUUAGAAUUGUUUUUUUUUUUUAAUUUUAUGGAGUUGUGUUGUUAUAAUAGGUUGUUAGAGGUGUGGUGGAGAGUCUUAAGAUCAUUACGCGUCAGGCGAGUUUGAGAGUUGCUGAGUAUGCUUUUCACUAUGCUAAGACUCAUGGGAGAGAGAGAGUUUCUGCUAUUCACAAAGCUAAUAUUAUGCAGAAGACUGACGGUCUUUUCCUCAAGGUCUGCCCAUUUUCUUAUAAGGAGAUCAAAGCUUUGAUGAUUAUUAGCGUCUGCUUAGUCUUUUUUACUAAUGGUUUAUUUUCUUUUGCAGUGUUGUCGUGAGGUUGCUGAGAAGUAUCCUGAGAUAACUUACGAAGAGGUUGUUAUUGACAACUGCUGUAUGAUGGUAAGCUACGACUCCAAAUUUACCAUUUUCAAUUGGUUAGUGAUCUAGCUUGCCUUGAUGAUUUUGGAAGCUAGUUUUCACAAUCACUUGUACUUUGACUUUGGUUUUAGCCACUAAUUUUAUUUGUGGAACAAGUCUAUUCUUACUUAUAUAUGUUAUUGAAUAUGUGACUAAGAGUCUUGAGAUGCCCUGCAGCUUGUGAAAAACCCAGCACUGUUUGAUGUAUUGGUGAUGCCAAACCUGUACGGUGACAUUAUCAGUGACUUGUGUGCUGGAUUGGUGGGAGGAUUAGGAUUGACUCCAAGGUAAAACAUAGGUUCCUUCAUCUUUAUUGUUUAAUAUGAGUAUGAACUGAUUAUCUUAUCUUUGACGCAGUUGUAAUAUAGGGGAAGAUGGUGUAGCCCUAGCUGAAGCAGUUCAUGGUUCUGCACCUGAUAUCGCUGGGAAGGUUAGUCCUCAAAACACUUGAUCAUUCAAAUUUUAUAGAUACUCUCAGACUUUUUCAUUGCUACAAAGUGACAAUUGUCCCAACUCUGACCAUAUGAGAAAGUAGGAUAAAAAAGCUGCCACGGAUAAAAUAUUAUAUAAACAUUCUAUCAGUUAUUUUAUUGGUAGCAUAGUCAGAUGGUUACAUGGGUUAAUCUAUGGAUCCAAUGUUGAAAGAUUAUAAAAUGAUUUUCAAAUUACCUUGUUUUUGGAUAUGCUGUUCUUAUUGUGUUGGGGGGUAAAUGAUGUACAGAACUUGGCGAACCCAACAGCGUUGCUACUGAGUGGAGUGAUGAUGUUGCGUCACCUGAAGCUGAACGAACAAGCAGAACAAAUCCACAGCGCAAUCAUCAACACCAUAGCAGAGGGCAAAUACAGAACGGCAGAUCUUGGAGGUAGUUCGACCACCACGGACUUCACAAAAGCAAUCUGUGAUCAUCUCUGAACAAUCGUAAAAAAAUCUCAAUUCUUUAACGAAUCUUCCUUCGAGGCUUGAGCGUUUAUUAGCCUCUGAGAUUCUUCUUGUUUUCCUCGUUUUACGAUAAGAAUAAAACAGGCAAUUGCUUUUGAAGUUACAUUGUUUCUUCUGCCUCUAAAACGUCUUUUAAAAAACUUAGAUUCAUAGCACAGAAACAGCUGUGUUGUUCUGUAAUCAAUCAGAAGAGUUUUGUUUUUCUUGCUUUAAUAUUACAAACUUGUCUAUGUUCUUCACAUCAAACUUGUUAGUAUUAUUUUUUUGACUGAGGAAAAUAAAUCAAAACUGAAUGAAAUGGCAUAAUUGCUCGGACUGCAAAAGAGCAGAGCCUGCCGAGAGAAUGACUUUGUAGUCCAACACUAAAAAGAUAUAACAAUACAUAAAAAGGAAAGAUAAUAUUGUCGUUGGUGUACCCAACUCUCAGCUCUAUGAUUAUAAACACUCAAACUCUGCACUCACCACUAAACCACUUGCGGCACCAACACAAGAUCUGAAUCUAAGCCUCUCUCUCUCUUGUCAUAUUCGUCAUCAUGGCUUCCUCUAACUACGACGGAGUCCUCCUCGGAAUGAGUAACCCACUCCUCGAUAUUUCUGCCGUCGUCUCGUCGAUGAAGAGUUUCUCACCAAAGGAGAGAAGCUGGUUGACACCAACGGUGCAGGUACUCAUUUGAUAACCUAACCAAACCUCUUACAUUACUAGAGAGAAAGUAACAUGAGGAUAUUAUAAGCUGAUUCUUAUCAUCCUCAAGCAAUUUUUCUUUCUUUCUCAGUAGUGAUCUCAAACAUUAGCUUCUCUUUGCAUCAAAUUUACUCCAAAACAAAACAUUAGCUUCUCAGUGUCGCAUAAUAAUAUGAAUACUAACUGCCAUUUUUGUUGACAUCACUCAUAGGUGACGCUUUUAUGGGAGGAUUCACGUCACAGUUGGUGAAAGAGAUAUCGAUUGAGGAGUGUGUGAAGGAGGCUGGAUGCUAUGCGUCCAACGUGGUACUCCAAAGAUUUGGCUGCACUUAAUCUGACAAGCCUGACUUCAACUAAAUUGAUAGUAGGCCAUCCUCAGUUUUGUGAUAUCUUCUAAAUAAAAAUAAGUAUUUUUUAUUCAACAAACUCUCACGACGAGUGUUCUUUUUGGAUUUUUUAACCACCCUUGUAUUACCAUAAUCAUUUAUAAUUAAUAUCAUUAAUAAAAUAUAUGUCGAGAAAAAAUGAAAAAUAUAUCAAUAUAUCAGCUACUAACUGAAAAUGGCUCAUAUUACAAGAGUGUUCAUUAAUUCUAUAUAAUAUCUCGAAGGACCAUCUCACAUCAGCAAAAAAAAGAGAGACUAAACCGUAGAACAUUGAAUGAGAGACUCAUCAUCAAGACCAUGAAUUACGGGGAGAAGCGUUUUGGAGGACCUCAAGGAAGAGAGUUUCAUCGCAAGAGAUACAAAGCUUGGAAUCUCCCGAAGUGAAAUCAUCGUACACUUCGUCUUUUGAUUGAUCAAGCAAAGCUCUGAUGAUGGGAUCGUGAAGCAGCGUGAUCUUGAUCACGAAUCUCUUGUAACUCUCCUCUUCUUUGCCUACGUACACCACUAGGUGUCCUUUUGGUACAUCAUGGGGUAUAUGAGGUUCCUCCCCAGCGGCCUUGUGCUUGGCUACUCUGGUAGACAUGUGCUUCCAUGCCUUUGUGAUCAGCUUGCUCUUCUUCAUCAUGUUGUUAGAGAGUGAGAUGAGAGAGAGAGAGAGACGUUUUAGCUGCGGGGUUAGUGUGAGAUGAAAUGUAAAGAGGUACUAGUGUCGUACGUGUAUAUAUAUACACAAAGUCACAAACAUAGGUCCACUAUAUAUUUUUGUGUAUAUAUUACAUGGAUGAAUAAGUACGGUUAAUGAUAUGUUUGGACCAUGUCGUCGUCUUUUUCAAUAAUACAUUAUCUACAUUUUUCUUUUGAUAAAGAUCUACAUUAGUUACUUAUCCUGAACAUUGUUCCAUUAUGUACUUAUACUACCAAGAAAUAUAUCAGAUUAAUAUGUCGAACGUACGUUAAGAUAUAUAUCUUGUACAUUAAAUAUAUGUUAACCUGAUUAUAAUAAGUUUUUUACUUUGUGAUGAUCGAUGAUAUAUAUGAUCAAUUAUCGUAAUUUGAGGGAUUGGUUUACCAGGACGUUACCAGGACGACUGUUAGUAACUAUAUACAAAGUACUUAACUAUUUUUGCCUGGUGAGAGACAAUUUAAAUCGUACAUAAAACAUUAUCAUAUCAUAUGACACCUACUUAAAAUCAGAAACUAAUACAAAAAUUUGUGUCGUUUUUUAUCAAGUCAACUACGGCCAUGCUGUACUUUGACAUACGAAAUCGUACGAACAUGCAUCUUGCCCUUUCCCAAUGGACUCACCCUUUAAUAAUUGCUUCACUUGGUUUAUUAUUUUGUCUUUUUAAUUUUUAUCGGCAUGGCACAUUGGCACUCAGCUAUUGCGCAACUAAAGAUAAUAUUAAUCUAUAUGUGUGUGAGUUUGCCCAUAAUACACACAGGAGACCGUAAAUGCUGUACACGCAUCUCCGUUUAUAGACAGGUAUGCUUAAUUAGUGGUAGACUCACUUUAAUUAGGUUAUUGUUCAUUUUUAAUCUUAUUUUCAAAUCCAAUUUAUAAACAUUUUGGUACCAUUUUCAUUAAAAGUCAAACAAAUAAUGUUAUUAAUACAAGUCAGAUGCGAACAAAACAUAUAUAUAUAUAUGCAAAUAUCUUCAAUUGGUCCUACUUAUUUCCAAAGUAAGAAAUAACAUAAUCUAAUAUAUUAAUGAUAUAGGACUAUUCUAUGCAUUGUCAACUAACUGAUUUUGAGUUGAAAGUUCAUACCCACAAAUCGGGUGAUUCAUAUAGUUUUGUUAAUUUUUAUUAUCUAAAUAUUAAACAAAUAACUAAACGCAUAGACAUAAAUACUUUGGUUUUUGAUAAAAGAGGAGAUGCAUUUUUCUUGAAGCUGUGAAAAACUGAAAAUAGAGUGGGUCCCAUGGCUUGAUUAAAUGUAGGAGAAAGAUAAGAUCUAAAAGAGAUGACAGACGAGAUAAGAUUCUUGGACAAAGUGCAAUUCGAUUUGUGUAAUCAUCGGAAAUGUGGAGUUUAAAAGCAUAUUAAAUUCUAAAUUUGUAAGAUUAUGAUGUAUUCAUAUAAUAUAUACUCCACAAAUUAAAAAGAAAAUAUUUAUAAAUUGAAGUUAAACUGACACUGUUAUUUAAUUCGAACGGCCAAUUUGUUUAGUUGGAUUUUAGUAUUUUACCAUUGUGGUGUGUCACUUGCAGUUACCAAAAAUCAACUUAGUGCUAAAAUAUCACAAUUAUCAAACUGCUUAAUGAAUUUAAUCCGAACCGAUUUGUAGUGCUGGAUUUCACCAUCGUAAUGUGUCACUGGUGAUUACCAAAUUUUUAACAUACAUGAUACACCUAUAGUAUUGUAUACAUCAUGGCACCAUGGCGCAAGCAUGGUUAAUAGUGGCAAAAGGCUGUCUACCAUUAUCUACAUUUUUAUAUAUUUUUGACGGUCGAUAUAUUAUUACUUUUUGAGAUUUCUUUUUAUAAAAUGAAUAUGGUGGAUAUUUUUUUAAAAAGAAUACUGUGGAUAUCUAAUAUUUAUUUAAAAAGAUGAAUAUGGUGGAUAUCUAAUAUUUACGCAUAACCGUUUGAUAUUUUACGAAGAAAAAAUGUUAUAUUUUUUUUACAAUUUUUUAUAUCUAGGAUUGUAUACAUGUAGUAUGCAUAUGUUUUGUUACGUAGUACUACAAUAUUACGCAUAACCCAAGUGGCCUUACGAAACUGUAACAAACAAACAAAAACAAAGUGUCAUUUUCAUGCAUGCAGGAUCCGGACAUGGAGUUUUCCGUGAACAAAUACCCUUAAUUAAAUUUUUCUUCAAACAGAAAUAAGAAUAUAUUUUCAAAAAUUUUACCGAAAAAUAUAUGUUCAAAAAGGCGAUUUGUCUGUUCUUUUAAAGUUAAAAUUAAGUUAAAAUCUCCGGUGCAGAAAGCGUCCUUACUGCAUGAUACCACGAUACAAUAAUUUGAUCGAUCCGUACUUUCUUGAUUUCAGUACUAGUCAGUUGAUUGGUCUAGUGUUAUUCUCAUGUCACCAAAUCUCUUAGUGUAAAUAUUAACUUCCAUGAAAGUCAGCGGUACAAAAUAUUACUCCCUCCCAUUUUAAUACUUAACCUUUUAGAAGAAUUUUCUUUUGUUCCAAUCCAAAUUACAUAAGUUAUUAAUUUUCUAUGUAAAAUAUGUUAAAAAUUUAUGAUAUAUGAUCAAUGAUAUUAUGGUUAGAAGAAUAAUUAAUUAUGAUUUUGUUUAGAAUAUGUAAGAAAUUAAUACAUUAAUAAUUUAUGUAAUUUUAAUUUAUAUGCACAAUUCAAAAACAUCAUCUAUUAAAAACGAAUUGAGUAAAAAUAAUAAAAAAGAAAAUGAUAUGAAUCUUUGAAAUAUCUAAUACUUAUGUUAUAUAAUUGGCAUAAAAUCAUUAUACUGAUUAAUAACUACAUUUGGUUUGAAAAUUCAUGUGCACUCACACAAAAAGUUCAUUUCACAGACGUUCUCUGUUAUAAUAUCAGGAAAAAACAAAAACAAAAACAAAACAAAAAACUUUUAGUUACAUUUUCAAUUUCGUCGAGUUAUAACACAUGAAUCACAUCUAUAUUAUUCUAAAAUGCUACUGGAAUAUUUUAAAGCUGGCAGUAUUCAUUUUUUGUGUGUUGGAGAUUCCGAGACGGCCAGUUUCAUCCCCCCUAAGGGACAGGCAGGUGCUUCAUCCCAUAGCUUCUGCGUCUUUUUUUUUCUUUUUUGGACAAAGCUUCUGCGUCUCUCUUUAAGGAAACGAGAGAUUAUUAUAAAUUCAUAAUCAGCCCAACGUUCGGAAAUAUAGAUUCAUUCCUCGCUGUUCGACACUGCUACUCCACGUGCAAUUUAAUUGUAACCAGAAACCUACAAAAUUUCUCUUGACGAAGGUUCAUUGUGGUUAACUCACCGUCCUGGGGACAUAAAUAUCAAAAUCAUAACGAGAAGAGUGUAGCAAAAUGUGUAGGUAAAGAGUGAAGGGUUAAAUACUUUUUCUUAUUUUACAUCUCGUAUCGUAUAUUAUGGGAAAGAAUAUAUUAUUAUUCACUACUGAGCUGUCUAGCUGGUGGCAGUAUCGUGUAGGGUAUCACCCUAGUCCAUUUUGGAUUGCAUGCAAUGUAAUGGGCUAUAAUGAAGAAAAAAGUGAAGUUACAGUUUGUUCAUUGCCAAAAUAGUCCAUCAAACUUUGCAUGAGCUAGGUUAUCUCUUUGAUUUUUUUUUUUUUUAAAUAUCUAUAGUUAAAAAAAUAUUUCUUGUGACAAAAAAGUGAAGCUGUUCUUACAAAACAAAAUUUACUUUCAUUAAUUAUUAUUUUAUUUAUACAUAUAUUUAUGUAAGACAUAUAAUUGGAUUGCAAAUUUUUUUUAUAUAGAUUAUAUAAAUAAAUAAAUAUCUAUAUAUAUAUAUAUAUAUGUGUAUAUCUGUCUGAAAGCAUAACUAAGUAAAUUAUAUAUAUAUAUAUUUAUAUAUAUAUAUAUAUUUAUAUGUGUUGUUUGGAUAAUUUUUAUGUUUUAAAAUAGAGAUCUAUGUUUUGUAAUAGAUUGGUGCACAAAAAAGAAGUUUGUAAUAGAAUUUUAUGUAUAAAUAUGUUUAUUUUGGAAUCACCUUUUAAUUAUUAAAUAUAAUUUUAUAAAUGAUUAGAAAAUAAAUAGUAAAUCUUAUAUUAGAAAAAUCAAAAAUCUAAUUUUUUUCUUUCAAUUUCAUUAAAAAGAAAAUUAAUUUAGAAUACUAAUAAUUUGAGAUUUACACUGCCGCCAAAUAAUCUUUUUUAUGUUUAUUUUUUUUAAGUUUUUGCUCGCAAUGAUGAAUUAAGAGAAACUAUGGAGUGGACUAUGAAGUCGUCUUUGUUUGCUAAGCAGUCAAUAACUUUGACUUUCUUUACUCUGAGUCGUCGUCGUCGUAGACUCGUAGUCGUCUUCUUCUUCUAGCUUUUAGUCCUAAAUUUAUUUAUUUUUUUCAGCUCCCCGAUCCAGUUUUGCUACUUCGCUUCUUCGUUUCUCUAUUCAAUUUGUUCAACUUCUGAACAAAGAUUUUGUUUGUGAUCCUACACAAAGAUCUCAAAGGUGAGUUAUAAUUUUCUUGACGAGAUUCAUAAUUCUUUUCAAUUGUUGUUUAGGGAAGAAGAAAUGUAAAGGUUUAUCCUUUAUUGGGGUUUAGUAUAUAAAUGAACCAACUUUGUGAUUGCUUGCAAGCAGGCAAUAGCUUCCCCUGUUUUUUUAAAUUUAGGAUUCGUUGCAAACUUUGAAUGGAUGUUCUGUGUUUUGUAAUAUUGUGAAGUAGUUUGGUUUCCAUGGCGACAAACUCUGUUUUUGAUUCUGUUUUGUUUGGUUGGUUUCAGUGGAGAAGCCACGUGGAUGUUUUAAUCUCUUUGAGAGAAUGAAGUGUUUCUUAUUCCCUCAUGCUGACAAGAAAGAUGAACAGAGGAGUCCUAAACCGGUUUCACCCCUCUCUGACCGUGCUGGAUUAACCAAAACCGGUUCAGAUAGCUCUGGAACCAGCACGGUAUCAUCAUCCAACCCGACCUUGCCCACUAGAGAAAAUAGCCUCAGAGAGUUCACAGUUGCUGAUCUCAAAUUCGUUACAAGGAACUUCAGCCGCUCUGUUAUGAUAGGCGAAGGCGGUUUCGGUUGUGUCUACUGGGGCACCAUCAAGAGCCUACAAGACCCUUCAAAGAAAAUCGAAGUCGCUGUUAAGCAGCUUGGCAAGAGAGGCUUGCAGGGUCAUAAAGAAUGGGUGACGGAAGUGAACUUUCUCGGGGUAGUGGAGCAUCAAAACUUGGUGAAACUGUUGGGUCAUUGCGCAGAAGACAAUGAACGUGGGAUUCAAAGGCUUUUGGUUUAUGAGUAUAUGCCAAACCAAAGCGUUGAGUUCCAUUUAGCUCCAAGUUCACCCACUGUGCUUACUUGGGACCUCAGGUUGAGAAUAGCUCAAGACGCAGCUCGGGGUUUAACAUACCUCCAUGAAGAAAUGGACUUUCAAGUAAGGAACAUGAAACUCCUCUGUUUUGUUUUCUUUUCAUCAGUUAAACUAUAAACCUGUUUCGAUUUUGUAGAUAAUAUUUAGAGAUUUCAAGUCAUCCAACAUUUUACUAGACGAGGAUUGGAGAGCAAAGCUUUCAGAUUUCGGUUUGGCUCGGUUAGGUCCUGCACCAGGAUCAACUCAUGUUUCUACUGGUGUAAGUUUAUGUGCAUUUCACUUCAUUUGGUUAUAGAAAUCAUCACCGACAUAUCGAGCAUAACCGUCUAAUAGCAUGUGCAAAUGGAACGGUUGAACAGAAUCCAAAUUUAAAUUUAAAAUAAAUAUGGAAAUUAUGGUCUAAAACAUUAAUAUUUUAGAUGUACUACUAAAUUUUGAGCUUAUAAUUUCAAAGGAAACGUCAAACAUAUAUAGAUUGAGCUAUUAGUUUUGUAAAUAUACUUUGUUACAUUGUUAAAUAUACAGUUAACAUAUUUUGAACAAUACUUAGAAAUAGUUUGAGACAUCACUGAUAUCUUAGCAAGUUGUUUUGGUUUCUUGGUUUGACAGGUAGUAGGAACAUUGGGCUACGCAGCUCCAGAAUAUAUCCAAACCGGUCGUCUCACAUCAAAAAGUGACGUAUGGGGUUAUGGAGUUUUCAUGUAUGAGCUCAUUACAGGAAGGAGACCUCUAGACAAGAACAUGCCUAAAGGAGAGCAAAAGCUUUUAGAAUGGGUGAGACCUUACUUAACCGACACUAAGAGGUUUAGGCUCAUUAUAGACCCGAGGCUUGAAGGCAAAUACUCGAUUAAAUACGUCCAGAAACUAGCGGUUGUAGCCAACCUUUGCCUUACUAGGAACUCAAAGGCACGUCCAAAGAUGAGUGAGGUGUUGGAGAUGGUGACAAAGAUUGUUGAAGAUUCUUCGUCUAGGAAUGGUGGUAAGAAGAGGCAGAUGGUUCCGUUGAGGAGUCUAGGAGCUUCUAGAGCUGAGGAAGAGAAGCAGAAGAAGGUGGUUCUUGAUGGUGGCGAAGGAGGUUGGUUAGAUAAAUUAUGGAACCCAAAGAAUGUGAGAGCUUGUUGAUUGGGGUAAAGUUUAAUACAACUUUAGUACAUUGUAGCCUUUGCUUAUUUUUGUAAUUCAACAAAUUCAAAUGUUUUCUGUUUUGCUAAUUUAAUAUUUGUAGCUUAAAUGUUGGUGUGGGGUUUUCAUAUUGAGCAUAUAACUGAUUAAUAUUAAAAAAAAGACAUAUAACUAUGUUUUGUCUGAUUUAAAUUAAUGAUUGUUAUUAGUAAAAUUUAUAACAAUUUCAUUAGAGAUAUUUCAUUUAUAGCCGCGACUAAUUAUCAUCAAAAUACAUAAGAUAUGAAGUUUUAUAACAUUUCUUUGCAGUGGUGUCUUGUGUUCUCCAAAUUUUAUAACAAUUACACGAUUGAUAACCAACAUUUAUUUGUUACCAGCAAUUAUUUUAACAAAUAAUUUGCAUAACACAAGGUUCUAGACAUUCCAAGUGUCCGCUUUUGCAUAAUCUUCACCAUUGUUAGUUGACUAAGCUAAGUUCUUAUAUUUGAUAAGCUUUCAAUGUGUUUAGUUCAUCUUCUUCUAGGAAAAAAAAACACUAGAGAAAUAUAGUUGCAACUAUAAAACGUGCUAAAUCAAUAGUUGAGACUAGACAUUCCAAUCCACCAGCAAACGGCUUAAAUCUUCCAUUUCUGGAUCAGGAUAGGGUCGAGCAUGCAUUAUGCCUACUAUCUAUCAUCAUGUAGUUUUAAAUGAUUCGUAUAAAAUAACAGAAGCAAAAGGAGGCACCAAUCAAACUCUGAAAAAAACCUUGCUGCAUCUAAAAGCAUAUUUCGGUUUGCUACAUCUACAUAUAAAUCGAGUAUUAAUGUUUUAUUUAUAUAUUUAUAUCCAUGUAUUAAGAAGUUUUAAUAAAUUAAUUGAUAAAAAAUUAAAACUAUGUCAAUGUACCAUAAAAUAUAGUUUAAUAAACAUUAAUACAAAUGUAGAAUGUAUUUAGAAAAUUUAAAACAAUACUAAAGAUCAUAUGCUUAACACAUUUAAUGCUUUUUAAAAAUUUCUAAACACAUUGUACAUUUGUAUUUAUGUAUAUUAAACUUUUUUUCAUGGUACAUGGGCAUCGUUUUAAUUUUUUUUUUUCAAAUUUAGUAAAACAUCAUAAUACCCCCUAAAUUAGUGGACUAACAACUAUAAAGAGAAUUUACCGAAAAAAUCAAUAUUUUCGUAGGGGUUAACACAAAGAUUUUGAGAAAAAUUCAAAAAUAUGAAAAUAUUGUUUUAAUGCAUAGUUGCAUCCUUCACUAACAUAUGAUGAAGGUCAAAGAGGUAUGAAACUUUUGUUGUCUCCGUUUCUCUAGAAAAUAGCGAUUUUAUAGUGGUUAGUCCACCAAUUUAGGGAAUAUUAUGAAAUUUUACUAAAUUAAUUGAAACAAAUUAAAACAAUGUCCAUAAUCUAUGAAAGAGAGUUUUAGUUUUAUAUACAUUAAUACAAAUGUAGAAUGUAUUAAGAAAUUUUAAAACAACACUAAAGAUCAUAGGAUUCAGUAUAUAUAACUCAAUAUUUUUCGCAGGGGUUAACACAUAGAUUUUGAGAAAAAUUAAAAAAUAUGAAUAUUCUAUUUUAAUGCAUAGAUGCAUCAUUCACCAACAUAUGAUGAAUGUCAAAAAGGUUUGAAACCUUUGUUGUUUCCGUUUUUUUAGAAAAUAUCGAUUUUAUAGUUGUUACUCCACUAAUUUAAGGAGUAUUAUAAUGUUUUACUAAAUUUGACAAAAAAAAUAAAAUGAUGCACAUGUACCAUGAAAAAGAGUUUAUUAUACAUAAAUACAAAUGUCGAAUGUUUCUAUAUAUUUUAAAACGACACUAAAGAUCAUAAGCUUCAGUAUAUAGAAAAUUUAUCGAAAAAUCAAUAAUUUCGUAGGGGUUAACACAUAGAUUUUGAGAAAAAUUUAAAAAUAUAAAAAUACUGUUUUAAAGCAUAGUUUCAUCAUUCACUAACAUAUGAUGAAUGUCAAAUAGGUUUGGAACUUUUGUUGUCUCCGUUUCUCUAGAAAAUAACGAUUUUAUAGUGGUUAGUCCACCAAUUUAUGGAGUAUGAAGUUUUGCUUAAUUAAUUGACAAAAGAAUUAAAACGAUGACCAUGUACCAUGAAAUGGAGUUUAAUAUAUAUUAAUAUAAAUGUAGAAUGUCUUUAGAAAUUUUAAAACAACACUAAAAAUCAUGCGCAUCAGUAUAUAGAAAAUUACCAAAAAUUUAAUAUUUUGAAGAGGUUAACACAUAGAUUUUAAGAAAAUUUCAAAAAUAUAAAAAUACUGUUUUAAUACAUUGUUGCAUCCUUCACUAACAUAUGAUGAAAGUCAAAUAGGUUUGGAACCUUUAUUGUCUCUAUUUUUCUAGAGAAUAACGAUUUUAUAGUGGUUAGUCCACCAAUUUAUGGAGUAUUAUGAAGUAUUGCUAAAUUAAUUGACAAAAAAAUUAAAACGACGCUCAUGUACCAUGAAAGAGAGUUUAAUAUACAUUAAUACAAAUGUAGAAUAUGUUUAGAAAUUUUAAAACAACACUAAUGAUCAUAGGAUUCAGUAUAUAGAACAUUUAUCGAAAACUCAAUAUUGUCGUAGGGGUUAACACAUAGAUUUUGAGAAAAAUUAAAAAAAUAUGAAUAUUCUAUUUUAAUGCAUAGAUGCAUCAUUCACCAACAUAUGAUGAAUGUCAAAGAAGUUUGGAACCUUUGUUGUUUCCGUUUUUCUAGAAAAUAGCAAUUUUAUAGUUGUUACUCCACUAAUUUAAGGAGUAUUAUGAUGUUUUACUAAAUUUGACAAAAAAAAUAAAAUGAUGCACAUGUACCAUGAAAAAGAGUUUAAUAUACAUAAAUACAAAUGUUGAAUGUUUCUAUAUAUUUUAAAACGACACUAGAGAUCAUAAGCUUCAGUAUAUAGAAAAUUUAUCGAAAAAUCAAUAAUUUCGUAGGGGUUAACACAUAGAUUUUGAGAAAAAAUUAAAAUUACGAAUAAUCUGUUUUAAUGCAUAGAUACAUCAUUCACUAACAUAUGAUGAAUGUCAAAGAGGUUUGGAACCUUUAUUGUCUCCGUUUUCUAGAAAAUAGCGAUUUUAUAGUUAUUAGUCCACUAAUUUAAUGAGUAUUAUGAUGUUUUAUUAAAUUUGACAAAAAAUAAAAUGAUGCACAUGUACCAUGAAAAAGAGUUUAAUAUACAUAAAUAUAAAUAUAUAAUGUUUUUAGAAAUUUUAAAACUAAACUAAAGAUCAUAAGCUUUAGUAUAUAGAAAAUUUACCGAAAAAAAUCAAUAUUUUCGUAGGGGUUAACACAUAGAUUUUGAGAAAAAAUCAAAAAUAUGAAAAUAUUGUUUUAAUGCAUAGUUGCAUCUUUCACUAACAUAUGAUGAAGGUCAAAGAGGUAUGGAACUUUUGUUGUCUCCGUUUCUCUAGAAAAUAGCGAUUUUAUAGUGGUUAGUCCACCAAUUUAUGGAGUAUUAUGAAAUUUUACUAAAUUAAUUGAAAAAAAUUAAAACAAUGUCCAUAAUCCAUGAAAGAGAGUUUUAUAUACAUUAAUACAAAUGUAUAAUGUGUUUAGAAAUUUUAAAACAACACUAAAGAUCAUAGGAUUCAGUAUAUAAAACAUUUACCGAUAAACUCAAUAUUUUAGUAGGGGUUAACACAUAGAUUUUGAGAAAAAUUCAAAAUAUGAAUAUUCUGUUUUAAUGCAUAGAUGCAUCAUUCACUAACAUAUGAUGAAUGUCAAAGAGGUUUGGAACCUUUGUUGUCUCCGUUUUUCUAGAAAAUAGCGAUUUUAUAGUUGUUAGUCCACUAAUUUAAGGAGUAUUAUGAUGUUUUACUAAAUUUGACAAAAAAUUUAAACGAUGCCCAUGUACCAUUAAAAAGAGUUUAAUUUACAUAAAUACAAAUGUAGAAUGUUUCUAGUAAUUUUAAAACAACACUAAAGAUCGUAAGCUUUAGUAUAUAAAUCAUUUACCGAAAAAUUCAAUAAUUUCGUAGGGGUUUACACAUAGAUUUUGAAAAAAAAUCAAAAAUAUGAAAAUACUGUUUUAAUGCAUAUUUGCAUAUUUCACUAACAUAUGAUAAAGGUUAAAGAAGUUUGAAACCUUUGUUGUCCUUGUUUUUCUAGAGAAUAGCGAUUAUAUAAUGGUUAGUCCACCAAUUUAGUAAGUAUUAUGAAUUUUUACUAAAUUAAUUGACAAAAAAUUAAAACGACGUCCAUAUACAAUGAAUGAGAGUGUAAUAUGCAUUAAUACUAAUUUAUAAUGUGUUUAAAAUUUUUAAAACAACACUAAAGAUCAUAGGCUUCAGUAUAUCGAACAUUUACCGAAAAAUUCAAUAUUUUCGUAGGGGUUAACACAUAGAUUUUGAGGAAAAAAAUCAAAAAUAUGAAAUUAUUAUUUUAAUGCAUAGUUUCAUCCUUCACUAACAUAUGAUGAAGGUAAAGAGAUUUAGAACAUUUGUUGUCUCCGUUUUUCUAGAGAAUAGUGAUUUUAUAGUGGUUAGUCCACUAAUUUAGGAGUAUUAUGAAGUUUUACUAAAUUAAUUGACAAAAAAUUAAAACGAUGCACAUGUAACAUGUAAUAGAGUUUAAUAUACAUUAUUAAAAAUGUAUAAUGUAUUUAGAAAUUUUAAAACAACACUAAAGAUCAUAGGAUUCAGUAUAAAGAACAUUUACCGAAAAAUCAAUAUUUUCGUAGGGGUUAACACAUAGAUUUUGAGAAAAAUUCAAAAAUAUGAAUAUUAUGUUUUAAUGCAUAGCUGCAUCAUUCACUAACAUAUGAUGAAUGUCAAAGAAGUUUGGAACCUUUGUUGUCUCUGUUUUUCUAGAAAAUAGCGAUUUUAUAGUUGUUAGUCCACUAAUUUAAGGGGUACUAAAUUUGACAAAAAAAUAAAACGAUGCCCAUGUACCUUGAAAAAGAGUUUAGUAUACAUAAAUAAAAAUGUAGAAUGUUAGAAAUUUUAAAAUAACAUUAAAGGUCAUAAGCUUCAGUAUAUAGAGAAUUACCGAAAAAACAAUAUUUUCGUAGGAACACAUAGAUUUUGAGAAAAAUUCAAAAAUAUGAAAAUAUUGUUUUAAUGCAAAGUUACAUCCUUCACUAAUAUAUAAUGAAGGUCAAAGAGGUUUGGAACUUUUGUUGUCUUUGUUUCUCUAGAAAAUAGCGAUUUUAUAGUGGUUAAGUCUACCAAUUUAGAGAAUAUUAUGAUGUUUUACAAAACUAAUUGAAAAAGAAUUAAAACGAUGCCCAUAAACCAUGAAAGAGAGUUUAAUAUACAUUAAUACAAAUGUAGAAUGUGUGUAGAAAUUUUAAAACAACACUAAAGAUCAUAGGCUUCAGUAUAUAAAAUAUUUACCGAAAAACUCAAUAUUUUUGUAGCACACAUAGAUUUUGAGAAAAAUUCAAAAAUAUAAAAAUACUCUUUUAAUGCAUAGUUGCGUUUUUAACUAACAUAUGAUGAAGGUUAAAGAUGUUUGGAACUUUUGUUGUCUCUGUUUCUCUAGAAAAUAACGAUUUUUUAGUGGUUAGUCCACCAAUUUAUAGAGUAUUUUGAAGUUUUAUUUAUUUAAUUGACAAAAAAUUAAAACGAUGCCCAUAUACCAUGAAAAAGAGUUUAAUAUACAUUAAUAUAAAUAUAGAAUGUGUUUAGAAAUUUUAAAACAACACUAAAAAUCAUAGGCUAUUUUAGUGACUAAAACAACACUAUAUUAUACGAAUCAUUUAAAACUUAAAAAUGACUAUACUCUGCUAUUUUCUCUUAGAUUUUUUUAAAAACAUCUAUAUUUUAAUAAUAGAGAAAUUCCAUAGUAUAGUCAUUUUUAAGUUUUUGUUACUAAAAUAGCAUUCAAUGAAGAAAAUGAUCAAAAUAAGUUUUAUUUUAUCCUAGUGUUAACUAAUGUAGACUUAAAGUUUAAGGGGUGGGAUUUUGAGAAUAAGGUUUCAAAUUUUAAAAACUAAAAAAUUAAAAUUUUCAAAAUAAAUAGAGGCUAUUUUAGUCAUUUUUUUCUUGUAAACUAUUUUGAGACAAAAAAAUUUAAAAAGACUAUUCGAGAGAAUUUCUCUAAAAAAAUAUUUUUGUGUUCUCCAAAUUUUAUAACAAUUACACGAUUGAUAACCAACAAUUAUUUGUUACCAUCAAUUAUUUUAACAAAUAAUUUGCAUAACACAAGGUUCUAGACAUUCCAAGUUGUCCUCAAUUGCAUAAUCUUCACCGUUGUUAGUUGACUAAGCUAAGUUCUUAUAUUUGAUAAGCAUUUCAAUGUGUUUAAUUCAUCUUCUUCUAGAAAAAAAAACAAAGAAAACACUAGAGAAAUAUAGUUGCAACUAUAAAACGUGCUAAAACGUCCAAUCCACUAGCAAACGGCUUAAAUCUUCCAUUUCUGGAUCAGGAUAGGGUCGAGCAUGCAUUAUGCCUACUAUCUAUCAUCAUGUAGUUUUAAAUGAUUCGUAUAAUAUAACAGAAGCCAAAAAAGGCAUCAAUCAAAUCUUAGAUAAGAUUGCAUUCAACUCAUAUGUACUUACAAUGGCAAACAAUUGACUUUUGACGCAUUGAUGUUGGCUGGAAACAGGGGUAGCCAUUAAAUUUUGAGUUUUAAGUAAAUUGCCAUAGCCUCUUAAGAAAAAUUAGUAGGCAAUUAAAACUACAAAUGGCUUUUCUGUGUAAAAACAAAUAAAAAUGUUUGCUUGUGUAAAAGAAUAGAGAAAAAACUUACUUGAGAGCUAAUAAUAUCAGUGUGUCAACUAAUAGGAACUUAAGAAAAUUUUCAUAUCAAACUCUGAAAAAACCUUGCUGCAUCUAAAAGCAUAUUUCGGUUUGCUACAUCUACAUAUAAAUCGAAUCGAGUAUUAAUGUUUUUUUAUAUAUAUUUAUAUCCAUGGCUGGUAAACACUUGUUUUCGCUUUCAAAUUUUAAAUAACUAAUGUACAGAUUUUAUACUUAUUAAUUUAAGAGCGGGUAUGUUUGGUUUGAAUAUAAACAAUGGGUGGUUGGCUCUGCCAAUACAAUUAUAUACUUAUAGUUUCAUGGUGUUUGAUGUUCUGUUCUUAGAUUUAGUCUCCUCUUUUGCUUAUAUCGUUUGUCUAUUUUUAUGCUUGUUGUGUGCUCCUUUUACUCUUAUUGCUGUUUUAUGUUUAUAGUUUUACCAUCUUACAACUCUUCCAUUUGCCAAUUUAAUAGCAAACUUUUAUCAAAAACAAAAAAAAAAACACUAGUGUAGAUAAGAACUAUACACUAAUAUAUUUGGGUCUCAAUAAUGAUAAUUCAAAGAAGGCAUGAUAUUUGCUAAAUUUUUCUCAAUGAAUUACCGCUAUGGUAACAACAUCUCUUUGAGAUGGACUAUUUUUGACAUAGAAUAUAUGAUGCAUAAAUGAUACUCCCUCUGUUUUAAAAAAAAUGCAUAUUCUAGACUUUUCACAUAUAUUAAGAAAACUCAUUAAAUAUGUAUUUUUUUGUGAAUAACAAUUUUUCAUAAUUUUUAGCUAAUAGAAAUUCAAUAAACACCAUUUAAUUUUUUUGAAACUUACAAUUUUUCAUAAAAUCAUACCUUGAAAAAGUAAAAAAUAUUUCUUUUUGAAACAAUUUUUUUCCAGAACAUACAUUUUUUAGAAACGGAGUGAUUAGUUAACAGCAAAAAAAGUGAACUAACCUUUGUAAAAAACACACCAUAUUUACGUAGGGGUGUCAAUAUGGGUAAACCAACCCAAUCCAAUCCAAACCCAAAUGGAUUGAGCAGUUUAUGGAUCAUGAGUUAAUCCAACCCAUUAACUAAAUGGAUUGGGUUAAACCAUAACCUAUUUAAAUUAAUGAGUUAGUGGUUUUAUUGGGUUGACUCAUUAACAAUAGUAUUAAUAAACAUAAUUUACAAAUAUUUACUAUAUCAUAAUAAUAUUACCAUCAACUUACUAACAUUUAAUAAUUAAAAAUGCUAAUAAAAAAUUAGCAAAUUAUAUAAUUUUCUUUUCUCAAGUUAUAUAAUAUAACUCAUCAAAAUAUUUGAAUUAAUAGAAAAUCAAAUGUCUAGCAAGAAAAACAAGAUUGCCUCUCUAGUCUCCACCAUUACACAUUAACAAGAACUAUGGUCGUUUGGUAAUAGAACACAAACAAAAGUCUCUAAUUCCAAUCGAGCCACUUCAUCAUUUCGUUCACUUCUCUUGUUAUGUUUGCCCAUUGUUUCACCUAAAACACAAAAUCAACCAUUUGAGUGCAAACUCAUAUCUUAAAAUCUCUUAGAAGAAAUACAACAUUCAAAGAACCAAUUUAGAGAUAGAGAAUAUUCUGCUUGAUGAAACACUCACUGUAACAAUCAUUAGCUACACUAUUCAUCUACCAUCCAAGGUGUAAAACACUUUACAUAACAAGAAUCCAAAAAGAAACUCGUUUCAAAAAGGGAUUUUCACAAGUGCUUUUCUUGUUGAAUUAUAUUGAGGACACAACAGCCACUACCAAAGAAAGAAUCAUAGUAUCGCAAUAAAACCAACGAGAAUGACACACAUAGUUGGCAACCACACAUAGUUCUUUGGACACUUUUUACAAUAUGCUCUCUCUUGGCCAUUCUCAUCUUUUUCUAUUGUAAAAUAAUCCCAAGCAGUUGAUCUCUUAGUUCUUUUUGAAUGAUUAGAACUUACUAGAGCCGUUUGUGAUGCACUUGUGGAUGAUUGGCCACCACUGUUUAGAAGAUCUUCAUUAUUCAUCAUCUUUGUCAACUUGAAAACAUUGAAAACGCAAAAAUCAUUUUCCAAUAAAAAAAUAUCAAACCAGAAACUAUAUUUUGAAGUAUAGUCAUUUUCCAAUAAAAAGUGACUAGUAUAACCCAAAAUAUCAUACGCAUGAUCAAAUCGAGUAUACAAAGACAUCACAACUCAAAACUCAAAUACAAUCCAACUUACAACGCUGGUGGAAGAGUAGUGGUGAUACUCAGUGUUUGGUCUCCUUGGUAGUGAAGAUCUGAAAAAGAGCAACAUUCAAAACUCAUUCUACAAUCAAAACAUCACAAAGAGACUCGGAUACUAAACAUGAAUAGCUUCAAUCAUCACUCAAGAAGAACAAAGGUACAUCAAUACAAAUAAAUAAACCAAACAAUGAGACAAUCCUUCCAUGAAAGUCACUUUCAAACCCAGAAAAAUUUACUUCAAAAUUGAUCUCAAAUCAGCAAAAUCAGUGACCCAUAAAGCCAAAUUGAAAAAAAAAUAGAGUUUGACUCACAAGGAAGAUGAGUUGAUGUGUUGCGAUCGAUAACCCAAAAGCAAUGACCCAAAAGGGUUGAUCGAUGUCGUGAUCGAUGAUGAAGGUCUCGUGAGAUCGAGAAAGAGAGAGCGUCUCGUGAGAGAAGAAAGAGAGAGAGAGACUAAAAAAUUAUGUGAGAAAAAGUGGGUUGGAUUGGAUAAUCCAUAAACCAUUUUGAUCCAAACCAAUAUUAAUCCAGCUCACUAAACUCAUUAACCCAUAAAAACCAUUUAUCCAUUAACAUCCAAAUUGUUAACCCAUUAGAACCAUGGAUUGGUUUGGUUUGGGUCAACCCAUUAAUUUCAACCCAUUUUGACACCCCUAUAUUUACGUAUGCUAUUAAUUAUUUUUUGCUUAUCUAACCAAAUUAAAAUUUUCUUUUAAAAUUACAGCAGAGGUGACUCUUUUGGUUUGUCAAAUCAUUCAUGACCCAUGCCAUAAAAUUAAACUAUACUUUAUUACAUGCUGAUUCAAAACAAAUUCACUAUUUUCCUAUUUGUUUGUUUAUAUGCAAGCAUGCAGCAUGACUUUAUUUUAUUUUGACUAACCCUUUUAUAUUAAUCUAUUUGUUUCAUAAUAAGUGUCAUUUUAACAUUUUUUUUUCCUUGUUUCAUAACGAGUACUCAAUAAGCUCAUUAGAUCUCAUACUACGUGAUUCAUGAAUUUGUCAGUCUAGGCUUCCUGAAAUUAAGCUUAUACUUUAUAAUAUAUACAAUUAAAUUUUCUAAAUAACUUGAAAGUUUCACAAAAGCAUCCAUAUGAAUCAACGCCAGAACAGAACCUAGUACAUUUAUUAAAACUUAGGAAACGUUAACAACAAAAAGUGAAUAUCCAUUUUUUUAAUGUGUUCCCAAGAAUAUUAAAUUAUACUCCAUGAUGAGAAUUGCGUGAAUUUUAAUUAAUUCAAGAAAGGGGGGCUGCCUGGAAUAAUUGAAUUUAAUGGUUUUGGAAUUCAAUAAAAACUGGUGUUUGUUGGUGGCCGGUGGCCUUCGCCGCCGGUUACCAUCUUUUUUUGUUUUAUAUGUAUAUAUUCGAUCUGUUUGAUCGAUCUUUUAUUCCGGUUGCGGAUGUUCUUUUCGCUAGGCGAUUUUGAAGUGCUUAUGAUCAUCAACAGCCAGAGCCAAUUUUCAUUCAAUUCCUUUCUCUGGUCUUACUUAGUUGAUCCUUAAUAAAGUUCCGAUCUUUUGAUCGGUAGUCGUUUAGGGGUCUUCUCUCAAUGGAAACCUAACAUCCCGACUGUUUUUCAUUUGGUUCUCCUCUUCCCGUCGGUUAUCCUCUAUCUUCAUCUAUAAGGAAAUCAAUCUUUGCUUUAUAUCAUCAAGCAAAGUUUUCCAGAGGAGAUAAAGAUUGAGUUUUGCAAGUUGUCUCGUGAUUUGCUUCAGUUUUAGAUGAGUUGAAACUUGUUAUUAGCAAGUGUUUCAACAAGAACUGUGGGUAAAUCAGUUCAAGCUGCUUGGUAAGUAUCACAUCCGGCGAUAAGAAUGAAGAUCCGGUGAAGACAGAGGCGUCACAGAGAGAAGUAUCCAACAAGUGAAGAUCUUUCAAUCCAGCCACGAAGCUUGAGCAAGCUGUGUGAAUUUUGCUGGAGGAGUGGCGUGCCAAUUACCCGACUGUAGCAGCGGCGCGUGCGAUGGCGCGUAUCCAAACUUGAUAUGAAAGCGUGUGAUGACGCGUGAGUUGAAGAAUUUCUGCAUGAUGGACGCGCGUCCUGCGGACGUGUCUUUCUCGAAGAUGCUGGCAAAGUCAAUAAAUUAGACUUUACCAUGUAGGUUUAUUUAAAUUUCGAGAUUGUAACUUAUGGGUAAUGAACCUUAUUGUAUCUUCACUUGUACAAAAGCCCAUUAGGGCAUUAUCAAUAUAAGUUUGUUGAAAAAAAAAAAAAAAAAAAAGGAAUUCAAUAAAAUGAGUGGGUGCAACGUGGAAUUCUUAGCCUGUUUAAAGAAAAGCUACAUAUUCGCGCCGGUUAUAAUUGGGAAACUUUAAACAAUGCAGCCAGCCAUGUGUGAUUGGACCCAUAAGAAUUUUUCAACAUUUAAGAAGCCUUACACUAAACAGAUUUAAAGAUAACAAUUGCAUCUGCAUGCUAAUCCUUUUCUUAAAUGCUACUCCCUCCAUUUUAUAAUGUAAGUAGUUUUGGCUAAAAGCACAAAGAUUAAGAAAAUUAUUAUGUUUUAAAAAGUAUUGUAUAUUAAAUAGGUUAGAUAUAACUUAACCAAUCAAAAAUAAAUUUAUUUAAUUUGAUUGGUCACACUAUACUCAAUAAAUGUAAAAGUUACCUAGAAAUAUGAAAACUACUUACAUUUUGAAACAAAAAAAUUUCCCUAAAACUAGUUACAAUAUGAAACGGAGGGAGUACUUAACUACUAAAUUGAUCUUCUUGGGAUUUUAUAAAGAGCCGAAAAUGUUACUAACAAUGAACAGAAAACCAUGACUCAUCAUCACUUAUGACAGUAUCGGAAGAAUGAAUAGACAUUUAAUUGACAAAAACAAAAUGAAUAGAGGAUUGAUUAUCAAGUUGGUUAGUAUUUAUUUUAUUAGGCAGACCUCUUUGGAAAAUGUUAUUACGGUCUCACAAAUAACAAAAUAGUACAAUAAAAUAAAUAAAAAGGAUAUUAAAGAAUGAAGAGAAAAAAUUAAAUAUGAUUUGAUAACACCGCGGCCGUUCAUCUGAAUGAUCCAACGGCUACAAGUUCUCAUGACUAAAGAACUUUAAAAUGCCAGAAACUCAUAUAAAUAUUGAGUGGGCAUUUAGCGCGUUUUCUCACUUUCUAUUUAUUUUUCUGAGUUCUUCAGAAUCAUAAGGCUAACCACUUUCUUUUCAUUCGAAUCAUUCUCGAUUCCUUUUGUUCUUUCUAAAAAUUUAAUAUUUUAAAGAAUGCGAGUAAAACCCAUUUGAAUUAUGCUUAAUUCCAAUUAAAAUUCUCAACCUUUCAUCCCCAAAUUCUGAAAAAAAGUUUUGUCUAUUUUUUGGUAAAAACAGUUUCGUCUUCAAGUUGCAGAGAUAUAUUAAGUAAAAGGUGAGAGCUUUUGAUCUUACUUCUUCUUCUCCAUACAUCUUCUCUCAGAUCUAUAAUUUAUUGUUUUCUCUUCUUUUUUUUUUUGUAACACAUCUAUUGUUUUCUCUUCAAAAAUAGUUAUUUGUUGUUCUCUGUGUUUGGCUAAUUCAUCAUCGUGAUAAUGACUUUUAGUACUGUUUCUAAUUUAAAGUAAAUAGUUUAGGGAAAAACCAAAGUUGAUUAGAGUCACAUUCCCUCUUUGUUGAAAAGUCUCUCUCUGUUUAAUUUUCCGUCAAAACUACUCAAAUGAUUUUUGGAGUGUUAAUUAAGUAAUAUUUGAUUUGUUUUAUGGUUAUAAUAUUUCUGAUUCCUUAUGAAAAGUUUAUACUUUUUUUACUAAGUUUUGUUUUUAUAUUUUUAAUCCAGAGAUGGUGUCACAUGAAGAGAACGUAAGUAUUGUGGAAUGGUUUCUUGGUCCGCCUUCAUACACGUAUCCUCCUUAUGGCGUUGAGUUGAUUCACGAGGAAGACCAAUCUCUUCAUCAUCAUCAUCAGAGCGGUGAGUAUUACAGAGAGUAUGAAGAUCAUCAUAGUAGCAGUGAUGUAGAUAACGAUGAGAUCAUUGCAAGAACACUCCAAGACGAUUUUUUGCAGCUUCAAAUUGCAGAAAAUAAUGGCAAUUAUUCAAAUCAUCAUCAGCACCAACAAGAAGAAGAUUAUACUCACAAUUAUAGCAGUAAUAAUAACGAGUAUGGUUGGAACGAUCAACCUACUACUAGGGAUUACUCUUCAGGUUAUUUUUGAACAUCUUUUUUUUUCAUGUGUGUGUUUACGUUAUGUUUUGGUGAUUGGAUUACAAAAGAAAAUGAGUUUUUGGUGUUGUAGAGUGGUUAGGGAAUGAUAAUGAUCAAGAUGGUUCGCCUAAUAUAUAUUCAUGUUCAAGUCCGAGUGACACGGAGGAGUAUGUGUACUCGUGGGAAUCAGAUCAGUGUGAUACUGAUGGUGAAUUUGGGAGGAGAUUGAAUCAGAUGGUCCCUAUUCCUGUAAGUAUUCAUGAGACUAUUGUUUAAACUCUUGUCAAUAUGUUCUAUUAAUUUGACACAAGUCGAUCAUAUGCAGUAUGUACCGAAAACAAAUGGAGAGAUACCACCUGAAGAAGAAGCGGUUUCAGAUCAUGAUAGACUUCGGAAUAGGUAUGUGCUAUUACAUGUUACAUCCAUGUAUGUGUUCUGUUAUGUAUAUACAAACCAUUAUUGUUUGUUUCAGGUUAGAGAUGUUCGACUUCGCAGAGGUCAGAGUUCCAGGAGAUGGUAACUGCCAGGUAAACUUCUACUUCAUCUCCAUAAGCAGAAUCAUUUUGGGAGAACUAGACUAACUGAUCAUUUAUUUUUUUGCCUUUUUGAUUAUAGUUCCGUGCUUUAGCUGAUCAACUUUACAAAACAGCAGAUCGUCAUAAACACGUUAGAAAACAAAUUGUAAAGCAGGUUUGAUGAACUUUCUGCUACUCAUGAGUCUUUAGUAGCUUUCACUAAUUCAUACGAGCUCAUGUUUUUUGGAACUUUUCAAACUCUUUUGUUUAGCUUAAAGCUAGUCCAGAUUCUUAUGAAGGAUACGUGCCUAUGGAGUUCUCUGACUAUCUCAAGAAAAUGUCUCGGUAAAUAUCUUCUCUCAUUUGAAACUACUUAACCGCAUUUCUUGAACCAUUGUCUUUUGUUAGAAGCCUUAAGAGUAUUCAACUAUGAACACAGGAGCGGCGAGUGGGGUGAUCAUGUUACAUUACAAGCAGCUGCAGAUGCAGUAUAGAUUCUCAAACUUAUGAAAACACAUGUAUUUUCAUUCGUAUACUUCUUCACCAUUCCAUAAUUAAAGAGUGUAUUAAUUGUGCAGUAUCGGGUGAAAAUAGUUGUGCUAACGUCAUUCAAGAAUACAUGUUAUAUUGAAAUUAUUCCCACCUCUCAAGAAUCCAAAGGGGGUAAUAGUCCACUAUACUUUCUGCUUGUCCUUUUUUUAAAUGUUGUUAUUACAGUGAUGAUAUGUUAUUUUGCUUGUUGUCUGCAGUAAUCUUCUUGAGCUUCUGGGCAGAGGUUCACUACAACUCCAUCUACUUAAACAAAGGUAAAUUGUAACUAACCUCAAACCCAUUUUACAGACUACUUUUUUUCAUCUUGGUUCAUUAAAAGAUAUAUUUUUCUUGAUUAUUUGUUUUUGUAUUCAGAUACAUAUGCAACCGAGUUACAGAGGAAGAGAAAAUGGUGGCGUUUUGGAAACUAAACAGAGCAUGGAUGAACCUAUAUUAUUAUUUAUUUAACUUGAGAAAGAGUUGUUCUUUGAAAUAGUUCCUUUGUAGAGAGGAUGAACAAAUCUCACAACUUCAUAAGUCUUGCAAUAAUAGAAGGACACGUGGUCAUAACGUACACAAUAGAUCAUGUAUAAAACUCAAUUUGUUGCAAAAAUCUAAGCAAAACCAUUUUUAAAACUAUCUCAAAAAGCUUAAGAGUCCAACAAUAAGUGAAAGCCAGCAAAUUCUAAAAUAAAAACAGUAGACUUAAACUGAGAGAGACCAUUAAACAUGCAAUCUCUAAGACUGUUCUCAACAACUAAAACAACUUUAUUUCCUAAAAAGGAACUUUGGCUUCCUAAGAGUUUCAAAAAAACAUUCCCAAGAAAAAAAAACAACAACCAAAACAAAAGAAAAAUAAACUUGUAAUUCUGCUUAAUUAUUCAUCUUCUCUUCGACAUUCCGGAACCAUGACCAAACUGGGAAUACAUGUACAAUGCAAAUGCCAAGGAUCCACCACAUAAUCGCGUUUUACUGAUUAACUUGCUUUCCCCAACAACAUAGAUCCAAGCCCGGCCAUCUACAUCGCAACAACACAAAACGAGCCUUUUAACAUCCCUUUUCUCGUCAAUGAAGUACCUUGGCUGACGGUAGGAAGCGUGAUUCCAAAAUGGAAUCAUAAGCUUCCAACAUGUUUUUAAACAGAAUUUUUUGGAAGCGUUUUGAAAGCGAGAUUCCGUAAGCUUCCACAAGAUUCUGAUUUCAAUUCCAGUUCCGAAGCGGGAAGCGGACGUCCGACGAAGCUUCCGUGCAACGUAGGGCGAAGCACUUUUUUUUAGUAUUUUCAAGAAUCACCACUAAACAGAUUUUUGAUACUAAUCUCACAUUCAAAUUGAAGUAUCAAAAAACGAAAUACUUAACAUAAUGUAAUACUUGAGAAGGGCUUGUAUUGAACUAAUUUAUAUACCCAGCGUGAAAAUUGGAGUAAACCCAAAGUAUUAAUGUGUACAUACAUGAGUGGACAAUCUCACUUUUGAAACCCAUUCCGUCCCCUUUUUCACAGAUAACUGCCAAAUGUCGCAGGUUCGAUUGUUUGUCGGCGCAGUGGUACUAUGACUCUCUAAUCCUAAAAGUUUUUCUUGGGUUUGGGACACUGCUUACGGUGGAAUCUAGUCACUAUCUCGAGUAACUUGAACCAGAGGAUGUAUGUUUUAAAUAUCUUUCCUAAACAAGAACUACGUGCCGUCUUAUUCUCCUCUGUAUUAGACGUUCCGUCGUUUGCUACUAUGAGCUUUUCCAUGUUAUAACUACCUGCCGGUUCCAAACUCGAGUGGGAUCGUCUUCUAUUUCAUCGGCGAGACAAAACCAGAUCGGGAUUCUCUCUCUUAUACCCAACGCAAGACAUGAAUCUAGGCUUCGUAAUUGGAGUAAUCGGCGUCCUGAUUCUCUCCCACGCCGCUUAUUCAACAAUCCAAUGUAAGCCUCCGGAUCCAAAUUACAAAUAGAUUCAGAUCUGAUUUUGUUUUCUGUGGGUUUGGAGAUAGUUUCUUGAUGUGGGUUUUGACUUAUUUGAUUUUAGAUAGAGGAUUGUUGAAGAUCACGGAGGAAGAGUUCACCGGACCUCCCUUGAAUGUAAGUAUAUACCAUAAAGGCUUCACCUUUAUUCAAUUUUUGUUGGAAAGGAUUAUACUUUGAUACUUGUUUGGAUUCGUUAAGGUUGUUCUGGAGUUGAUCGUGGGACUAGCUCUUUGUAUGUGGGCUGCUUUGACUUUCCCUGGGAAGUUCCUCUCCAUUCACCCUGACUCUGAUGAAAACAGGUUUGUUGUGCAUCACUCUGUUUGACUGAGAAUGCUCUUAGAUUCAUGUUGAUGGAUCGAUUCGUUUUCUAGUUAGUAUUGUGGCUAUUGACUGAGAAUGUUCAUGCUUGUCCCACUCUCUAUCUUGAGUCUUGACCCUGAGCAUACAUUCUUCAUUUACUCUAUAGGUGUUUUAGACUCCCUUUGGUGAAUAAAAUGAAUUGUUCCUUUUUAUGUCACGACCUCUCUCACCUAUCUUCUUAUAUACAUCAUGGUUCUUUGAUUGGUUUUGAGUUUGUCUUAUGUUAAGAUGAAGUGAAUAUGCACUUCUGCUAAGUAACUUGUUCUUUCAAAACUUUUUGCAGGGCGGUUUCUUUACCAGAUAACUCUGAUUUCAUGAUAUUCAAUCACCGUGGCCGCCUCUUCCCACCAGAGAUCACCAUGAAGUUUUGAUUUUUCCUCCUUUUUUUUUUUUAUAUCGGACUUCUUAGUCAAACACUCAUCUGUCCACUGUAAUGAGAUGUUGUUUCCAUUGAUAUUCUAAGUGAUUUCCAUCGAUUUGUGAUUUUUAGUGAAAUAUUGUUUAGAAAUAGAAAGUCAACAUAACGACAAAGUGCCUGCAGAGUAGAUUUGGCCACUAGUAUGUAAAUUCAAUGCAUCAAGCGACAAUUUUUUUUUUUAAUUAUUAACUCACGUUAUGAGUAAAAGAAGUACAAACAAACUCAAAAGCGAACAGAACACUAGUUUAAGUGUUCUAGGCGCUGUUCUGGAAGUUCCAGCUCCAAAUAUCGUGACGCUCAGCCUCACGGCCCAUGGCACCGGCAAAACCAGCGUACAUGUUUUCGAGAAAAACCUCAGAGAGAUCUAACUGCGCAACGAUCAAAGGCUUCUUGGGUUUCGUGACAGCUUCUGGCGCGAGAGUAACUGAAACAUUAGAGUCUCUAUACUCAAUCCAAGCCUUGUACCUCUCUCCAUUGCUCAGCUCCACCUCCUUGAACCUCCACAUUUUCGUUCGCCCUAUCACUAUCUGAACCCAAUAACCAGCUCUCUCGGCCACAACAGAAGUAAGUGAGUUCACAUCUACACCGACAUGGUUAUCAUUCAUGUCUCCAAGUUGCUUGUCCUUAUAAACAUCGAACUCGACGGCGAAAACGUGGUUUUCAGGGUCGCCGUUGUUUGUUUUGUUGAGGAUUCCGAGGUAGCCCGCGGGUCCUGCGCCGCUGUUGUCGAGAGCUGGGACCACGAUGAAGGCGAGGCCAUGGCCUGGAGCUGGUUCGGUGCGAGGAGUGAUGGAGAAAACGAAAGAAGUCUCGAAUGGGUAAGGAAGAGAAGAAGAUGUGUUUGAAGAAGGCUUGAAAGGGACUGGAGUGGCCCAAAGGCCUUGGCCGUGGGAGAGAGGGUUUUCGUCUCGGGUCAUGGAGAGAGCUCCCGAGCGACUCACGCCAUCUGAAGCAGGACCGAGCUCUGCGUCUCCAAGGAAGGCUAUGUUUGAGGUUUCGAGGCUGAGGUUGACUGCGAGAGUGGUGUGAGCCAAGAAGAGAGCAAGAAAAUAGAGUUUUUGAACCUGCAUUAUUGUCUUUGUUUUUGUUGAAAUGAGUGUAAGAAACUCUGAGGACGAUAACGUGGUGUGAUUUAUAAGACUAGUAAACUGUAAACACAAGCCAUGAUCGAGUUUGAUUUCAAAAAUGUGAAACGAAAAACUAAAAUUAAUCAUUGAAUCCGUUACAUCACAAUACAGCAAACGUCAAGUAGACCGACAAGAGGCCAAUGAAAACACGUCCCCUCAAAAUUUUCUACUUAUCGUAUCGAUAAGUAGAAUACAAGUACAGUUACAAAACAUACUGUAGUGUUUAUACGAUUUCAUCACGUGGAUGAAUGAAAUACACUCUUGUCUAUGUCUGUUAUUUAUUAUCCACCAUACAAACAAGACCGACAUCGUAUAGAAAGUUACGUCAUGUCAGUGAAUCACAGUUACGCCAUAUAAUUAAGUGAAACCGUUUUGGUGUUCUUGCCAGUAUUCUGGAACGUCCAGCUCCAAAUGUCGUGACGCUUAAUAAAACUGUAGACUUGUGCGUAGCCAACUAGCCAUGCAUGCACAAACCCAUAUGCCAAAAAAUCACCUAGAGAAGAAACGACCUCUGUAUUGGCACCCAUCUUUUAAUUGUUCUAGCUUAAGCACGAUUAACUAAAGAGUUUUCGGUAUCAGUUAGUUUGGUUUUUAAAAAUAGUAUUUGAUUUCGAUUAGAUUUUGGUUUAGUUUUAUUAAAAUUUCAGAUAUUUUUGGUUAAAUCGAUUAACUAAGUUAUUUUUUUAGUUAGUUUGAUUUGAAAUUUGGUUAUUUCCGCUCAGAUUUUUAGUAAGGUUUGAGUAAUUUUUUAUAAAGAAAACUGAAGUAACCGAUUGCCUGACCUACCGAAAAGAACCGAAUUAACCAAUAUUUUGGUUCAGUUCAAAAUCUCAAGGCCUAAUUACAGCACCAGACUGGUUUUGUCGGUUCGGUUAGGUACAGUACCGAAAAGUUCCCGAGUCAUGAGCGAUUUAUUAACGUUAUCCAAAAGAAACAAUGGAGAAGGAAGAAACUCAUGGCUAUUCUCUUUACACCUCCACAAUGCAGUAGAACCUUCUCUUCUCCUGUAUUCAACAACCACGUCGCCGGAGAAACCAUUCCCUCUCCUCACUCCUUAAAGCUGAAAACUUCCUCCGCCGAGAACUGGUGUUCCCGUUUCCGAUCAAAAUCUCUCAGCUUGGUCUUCUCCGGAGCUCUAGCUCUCGGUUUAUCUCUAUCCGGUUCGCUCCACACGAUCCCUUCCUUCUCAAAAAAAAAAAAACAAAGUUUGAAUCUUUCUUUUUGUUUGCAGGCGUUGGAAUUGCAGAAGCAGCCAAAGUGGGAGUAAACAAACCAGAACUGCUCCCAAAAGAGUUCACUUCGGUAAUAGACGUUGCUGGUUUCCUCUCUGAUGGCCAGGUUAAUCCUCUGUCUUGGUGCUCUGGCCUUUUGGUUUUGAUUAUAAUUGAUGUUUUGAGAAUUGUUUACAGGAGAAGAGGAUUGCUGAAGAAAUCUCUGAUCUUGAGAAAGACACAGGGUUUAAGCUAAGAGUCUUGGCUCAAAACUAUCCUGUUACACCUGGUAAAAUGAUAUAUUCUCUAUGCUUUUAAUUUCAAUAGGUUUGUACUUAUGAUGACGUGUUACUCUGUUACAGGACUAGCUAUGAAAGAUUACUGGCAAGUUGAUGAUAGCACUAUCGUGUUUGUCGCUGAUCCCACUUUUGGUAUAACACACAACACACACAUUCAUUGUUUAAUUCUUGUUUAUUAUCCGAUGAGUGAACCGCUUGUGAUGAAUGGAUAUUUUGAAAUAGGGAACAUAUUGAAUUUUAAUGUUGGGGCUACUGUUGAUUUGGACAUACCUCGUAGCUUCUGGAGUCGUUUAGCUGGGAAAUACGGCAACAUGUUUUACUGGAAAGAGAAGGUAAGAAAGAAGCUCAACACUCUUUUUUUUUCUUAUGUAUGUGUGAUCAUGUCUCUAAAACUGUUAGCAUGUGUUAUUGUUUUGAAAUUAGGGUGAAGAUGCAUCCAUUGAAGCUGCAGUGAUGGCUAUAUCAAGUUGCUUAAGGGAACCAGUUGGUGCAAAUAACUGUGCAGAGGUUUACUGAAUGUAUGUCCCAGAGAAAAUGUAUGUUGUAAUUUGUAACACUGUAUAAACAUUGAUACUAUAUGUGAUAAUAAGAGUAUACAUGAUGAAUCUGACAUCGACCUUAUGUUGCUUUUUUUACUGUGUGUUGGUCGAGAUUGUUCAAAGCAUCAACUUUAGGGAUCAUUUGUAGAAGAAUGUGGAGUGUUAAAGAAAUGUCCCAAAUCUUUUUCUCACUCUUGUUUUAUUCAUAGUGGCCCACAUGAAUGAAUCUCAUUUCAAACCCAUUAUGAAAUCCCGGCCCAUGUUCUCUAGUUUUAUUUAUAGCGGCCCACAUGUAACUCUUCGGGCUACACUAGAUGUGAUGCCAUGUUUUUAAUGCUUAGGAGGUGUUAGUGGGAUAUGAAUUUGUAGUGAUUGUUAAAAUUCUCAAAUUCUAUUGUUAUUGGUUGGUGGAUUCUAAGAUUCUUACUAAAAUCUAGUGUUAUUGGUUUGAUGAUUGUUUAAUGACUUACAAAAUCUCUUGUUAUUCAAAAAGUUUGGUUUUUAAUGAUUCUAAGUUUCCAUCAAAUCUAGAGUUAUUGGGAAUUGAAUUCUAGAUAAUUUUACUCAUAAGACAAAACUUCAAAAAUCUUGCAUAUUUCCUCUAGAUUCUUAAAAUCCUUGAAUUAGAACAUUUUCAUAAACUUUUAAAAUAUGAAAUACUCUUUAUAACUCUUUACAAAUUUAACAAAUCUCUUGACUUUUAGAAUCAACCAACUCUAUAAAAAUUCUACUCCCACUAACCCCUCCUUACUUCUUGUGAUUUGUAUUGCCAUUCUAUUUUAGGUUUUAUCUGUUUCAUAUUCCACUUGGUUCUUUGUAGCUUUGUUGUAUUCUUUUAUGAUGGAGCUUAAACUCUUACUAAGUUCUAAGUUUAAUACAAAUUUGGUUUGAUAAAAAAAAUAUGAAAAUAUAUUAUGUAAUUGCAGACACGGCUAUUCAACACGUAAAAGAAUGAACCAGUGUAAAUAAAAGUGGAAAGUCUUAAUGGGAUGAUCUUAUUUGAUCACAUAAAGAUCAAAGUCAGCCUAACAUUGAAUAAUAAUGUUAAGUUUCAAAGUGUUUGACAAGUCACAAAAACUAAUAGAAUGGUCAAAUUAGUUUUAAUUUUGCUUGAGAAAUAGUCAAAAUUCAAAUAAACGUUGCUUGGAUUAUAAUGGCUUCCCUCGUGUGACAGAGAGGACUCGACUAUCGAUCCCCUGCGAAGAUAGAACGACUCCAGUAACGUGUUGAUCCCAAGCGACUUUUAUCAGUGUGAUUUUCUUUUCUAUCGACAACUAGUAAGAGACAGUACUGGAUAAUAUAUAGGUUGAAAUUUAUAACCAAUUACUCCAUCAAAAACAAAAAUAAAUAAAUUGAUUAGUUAAUACGUACAUCUAAAACCAGACAAUGAAACAAGGUGGAAACAUGGUUGCACGUGUGGCUGCGCGACCAAGUAAUUAUUGAAAAAGUCAGAUUUUCCUUAUAAUCUUCAACUUGCCUUUUAUUAAAAUACAUACAAAUUGUUUAUAUUUUCCUGAAGUGGUCAUAUCAGAUUGGAUUUAUUUUUUUCUGCUAAGAAUAUCAGCUUGGAUUUGAGUUUCCCUUAUACAUUUUCGUCCUUCAACAUGAUCAAACUUGAAAGAUAUAUACAGUAUGUUGUUUACGUCGAUUAAAUACAUAGCUCUAGUUCUUUCAAUGUAUAUAGUUAUAGUCUUAUAGACUUGGGAGCUAGAUAAUACAUGUAUUGGUAUUAUUUCCAUUUAAUCAGUUAUAGCAUGUUAUCAUGUGGAGAUAGCACAUUAACACUAUAAAAUCAAUAUAUACAUAUUUGUAGAUAUGAGAUGCUAAGAUCGGACGAUUUUAAAUCUAAAAGAUUAUGUAUUCAUAUAAAAUUUGGGAUAUUCGUUAGGUGGUAUUUGACUGUUUGUACAUAAAACAAAUAGAUCCAUUUAAUAAAUAAUUGUUUGUAAAAAUUUAAUAAAAUAUAAAUAAUAAAUUAAGAAAACAAAUAAGUACAAAUGAUCUUUAAAUAUAUAAAUAUAUUAGGUAAGAUUAAAUCUUACCAAAAGUUAAAAAUAAGAAAAUAUUACAACCUACAUAUUAUAACCUUCAAUAAUGAGGGUGUAAACAAAAUCAGAGCAAAAAAUGUGAAAGUGAAUGUGUACAUGUGCGUCCAGUCUUAGACCUCACAUGUAGCAAGUUCUUAUUUGAGUUUCAUGGAACACAACUACUACACAUAAAUAAGAAAGACCUCACAUGUAGCAAGUUCUUAUUUGAGUUUCUCAAAAAAAAAGUUCUUAUUUGAGUUUCAUGGAACACAACUACUACACAUAAAUAAGAAGACCUUUCUAUUUUGGCAAUAAAAAUGGUCCAGCUAUACAAAUGGACCUUACCGGUGGGGAGGUUCGUGCCGUGUAAUUCAAACAGAGACAAAAGUUGCCAGGUGGGACUGACGUGGACGAUCCCACUAAACCCCACAUCAUUAAUCAUACAUAGUUUUAUCAUCAUGGCUCAUCAUCAUUCAUACAAUAUUAAUAUGAUCAUCAUAAUAAACAUUAGCUUCGAACGUCUAACUUUUUUAAUAUUAUAAAAUAUAUGUUAUCUAAAUUAUUAAUUUUUUUUCACUAGAUUGUCAAUGAUCUCCAAAAUUUCAGGUGGACCAUGACUACAUGUAUACAUAAUCAGUGUAGAAGUCCUCCAACGGCAUAUAUUUUAAUUGCCAUAAUGAUAUUAAGAUUUUCAUUUGCAAAUUAAAUUAUGUUUGUUAAGAAUUAAUAAGAAAUUAUUGGUAAAAAAACAGUAAGCACUGUGGUAAUUGUAUGUCGCAUUCAAAACUGAGUCAGAAACACGUGGCAUUUUUAGUUCAUGGUUUUACUUUCACCUUACUUCUUAUCGUCAUCAACUCAUCAUAAUGCCACUAUACAACAUUUUUAUAAUGUCGCUGACAGUUCCUCCUUUUGAAAUGGCAAUAAUAAUUUUAUAUGUCACUACUAUAUCUAUAAGUGUUGGGUUAGGUUUUCGCAUCAGCAAAUGAUUUGGAGGAAGAUUGAUAUACCCCGUUUAUAUUAUCUUUUGUGGAGCUCACAAAGGACCUUAUAGAUAAAAAUAUUGGAGUUUCAUUUUAUUAUUUUCUCAGAUUAAGAUUUCGAACAAUCAUGCAAACCUUGAUUUGUACAUUCAAUUUUUAGGUAUAUUAGAAAAUAAAGGAUUAUAUGGUGCUUCUCUGUAUUAUAUGAUAUUCUGAAAUUUUCUGUUUAUUAAUAGAACAAAUCAGAUUACGCAGCUAAUUGUACAUUUAUAAUUUACUAGGGAUUAACCCGGGCUACGCCCGGAAUUUUUACUUUUUUUCUAAUUUAAGUUGUUAAAUUAUUUAUAUUUAGGCUAUGAAAUAUAUUUAUAUAAAUGUUAAGAAUGCAUGCCAUACUUUAAAUUUAUUUUUAAAUUUUAACACGUUAAAUUAACAUAUUUUUUACUAUUUAAAUAUUUUUUUGUAAUUUUGUUGGCUAUCUAGUUAUCAUAUUUAGCAAAACUAUCUGUUGAGUGUUGGAAUAAAUGUUUUAGAUAUUUAAUUAAACUCCAGAGUAUUUUCGGAUCCACCACAUGCUCAACAAUCGAUCGAUCCGUAAAAAGAUGGUUGAUCUCCUUGGCCAGGUAAGUAUAAUUUUAGCAAAAAUAUCUUUGAUUUUCAAAUAUUAAGUAUAUAACUAUUCUUUGAAUAUUUUUUUUUGAAUUGUAUUUUUUGAUUAAAAUAUUGUAUUAUAAUGUUUAUAUAAAAAUUUUGUGAUGUUUGAAUUGUGAUGUUCGUAUACUUAACCUAGAUGAUAUUGAUGUUUAACAUUAUUGUUUUCUGGAAAUAGAAAAUAAUGAUAUAUCAAAACGUAUCUAAUACUUGUUAAAUGAUAGUAUAAUGUAAAUUACAUCCAUUAUUUGAAAAUAACCCUUUGUUGUUUUUAUUUAUUUAUUUUAAUCAGAAAUUAUUUUAUUUAAAAACAUUAUUCAUAUAUAAUAUAAUAGUUUAAGUUUGGAAGAUUAAUCUAUAUAUAUAAAUUAUGUAUAUUUUUUAAAAAAAAAUUAAGAUAUUAUAUAUAGAGUAACUGGAUAAAAGCUGAAUUUCUUAUCUUGAAAAUCAAAUAUUUAUAUUUUUGUCUUCAUGUUAUACUUACCAAUCCAUCAUUGAUAUUUAUAACUCAGUAUGUUUUAAAAAAAACUUAGUUUUAAGUAAUAAACGAAUUUAAUAAAUUAAAUUCAUCACCUAUAAUGUUCUGUAAACUAUAUUUGAAAACUCUCUAAAAUUAUAUUUUAAGCAUAAUAUUAAUAUUAUUUAAUUUAAGUUAUUUUAAGCAUAAUAUAUGCUAAACCAACUUAAAUUAUAUUUACAAUAGGACCAUCCUAAACCGGUUAAUAAACCAAAAAUAAUACUAAACCAACAUAAACCAAUACCUGAUUCGGCGAGGAAGGAAGUGUUUCGGGAUAAACGCUUGAAUGGUUAUUAACUGUAAUGGUUUGAUCAUGAAAGAGUUAGUAUGAAUAUUAACAAUAAAAUUAUGGAUUAGAUUAAUUUAAAUUUGUAAAAAUACUUUUGUGUCUAUGAAAAGCAAUUCAAUUCUCAUUAAUAAGUUUGACUUUUGGAAGUUGCGGGUUUUCCAACAAUGAAUCCACCUAACAAAAAGUUCAUUGUUAUAAAAAAUCUCCUUCAAGGUCAUUAAAGGUUUUUGAGACGGCAAGAAUUGAUGGUGGAACUUUUUUUUGCUCGAGUGCUUUGAAGUUUUCUUUGAUUGUGUGAGGUUGAUGUUGAUGGGAUAAUCAGUUUUAUAGGAGCUUUCUUGAUGUAAAACUAUAUAUUUUUUUUGUUUAAUGUGGUAUUUCCAUUUUUAUAUAAUAUACUACCAUUUUAAGAUAGAUGUACAUUUUAAGAUAGAUGUUUAAAUCUCAAUGUAAUUUUUUCAUUUUUAAAUGUUUAUCUCCAUUUCUUAUAUUUUUACUUACGUAAUAUCUAUAUUUUAUAUUUUAAAAUAGAUAUUUAAAUCUUAAUGUACUUUUUCCAUUUUUUUUAAUUGUGUAUUUACUUAUAUUAUAUAUUUUACAUUUUAAGAUAGAUGUUUAAUGUUUAAUGAACUUUGUCCAUUUUCUUAAAAAAUUGUGUAUUUACUUAUUAUUAUAUAUAUAAUUCAUAUAUUAUAUAUUUACAUUAUUUACUUAUUAUUUAUUUUCCUGUAUAUGUAUUUCUAUUUCCUGUACUUUUUAUUUACUUAAUAUCUCUAUUUUACAUUUUAAGAUAGAUGUUUAAAUGUUAAUUUACAUUUUCCAUUUUUUUAAAUUGUAUAUUUCUAUUUGUUAUACUUUCUAUUUACGUAAUAUUAUAUUUUAAAUUUUAAGAUAUAUUUUUAAAUCUUAAUGUAAUUUUCCAUUUUUUAAAUUGGGUAUUUGCCUAUAUUAUAUAUUUACUUAUUAUUAUUUUUAUUUAUAUUGUGUAUUUCUAUUUCUUAUACUUUCUAUUUACUAAUAAUUUUAUAUUUUAAGAUAGAUUUACAUUUUAAGAUAGAUGUUUAAAUACUAAUGUACUUUUUCCAUUUUUUUAAAUUGUGUAUUUCCUUUUCUUAUACUUUCUAUUUGCGUAAUAUCUAUAUUUUACAUUUUAAGAUAGAUGUUUAAAUCUUAAUAUAUUUUUUCCAUUGUUUUUAAGUUGUGUAUUUCUUUUUCUUAUACUUUCUAUUUACUUAAUAUCUAUAUUUUACAUUUUAAGAUAGAUGUUUAAUAUUUAAUGUAUUCUUUCCAUUUUUUAAAAUUGUACAUUUACUUAUUAUUGUAUAUAUAAUUCGUAUAUUUAUAUAUUUAUAAUAUAUACUUAUUAUUUAUUUUUCUAUAUAUUGAGUAUUUCUCUUUCUUAUACUUUAUAUUUAGUUAAUAUCUAUAUUUUAAGAUAUAUGUUUAAGUUUUAAUGUAUUUUUCCAUUUUUUAAAAUUGUGCAUUUACUUAUUAUUGUAUAUAUAAUUCGUAUAUUUAUAUAUUUAUAAUAUAUACUUAUUAUUUAUUUUUCUAUAUAUUGAGUAUUUCUCUUUCUUAUACUUUAUAUUUAGUUAAUAUCUAUAUUUUAAGAUAUAUGUUUAAGUUUUAAUGUAUUUUUCCAUUUUUAAUGUAAAACGACAAUGUUUAAUAGAAGAAUUUGGAAAAAUAGUCAAAUAGUUAUAUUUAUGUUUUUUUUUCUUUUUUUAUAAAAUGGUAAUGUUACAUUAUGGAGAUAAGCCAUUUUUUUAGUGAAAAAUGGUAAUCUUACAUAUGUUUAAUGUAGAUUUCCAUUUUUUUAUGUUGUAUGUUUACAUAUUAUUGUUAUUUUUAAAUGUAAAAUGGUAAUCUUACAUAUGUUUAAUGUAGUAUUUCUAUUUUUUAUGUUGUAUGUUUACAUAUUAUUUAUUAUUUUCAAAAUUAUAUAUAGUGUUUUUUUACAAAAUAGUAAUGUUACAUUAUGGAGAUAAGCCGUCUUUUUUUUAGUGAAAAAUUGUAAUCUUACAUAUGUUUAAUGUAGUUUUUCCAUUUUUUAUGUUGUAUGUUUACAUAUUAUUUUUUAAAAAUAAAAAUGUAAAAUGGUAAUCUUACAUAUGUUUAAUGUAGUAUUUCUAUUUUUUAUGUUGUAUGUUUACAUAUAUUUAUUAUUUUCGAAAUUAUAUAUAAUGUUUUUUGUUUUUUUUAUAAAACGGUAAUGUUACAUUAUGGAGAUAAGCCGUUUUUUUAAGUGAAAAAUGGUAAUCUUACAUAUGUUUAAUGUAGUUUUUCCAUUUUUAUGUUGUAUGUUUAGAUAUUAUUUAUAAUUUUUGAAAAUUAGUAAAACUAUAUUUUAUGCCACGUGUCAUCUUUCGGAAGUAGUUUUUUUUGCUGCUGUGGACGCUCUAUGGAGCCUCAAAAGGUCCCUUUUAUUAACGGUAAUGUUACAUUAUGGAGAUAAGCCGUUUUUUAAGUGAAAAAUGGUAAUCUUACAUAUGUUUAAUGUAGUUUUUCCAUUUUUAUGUUGUAUGUUUAGAUAUUAUUUAUAAUUUUUGAAAAUUAGUAAAACUAUAUUUUAUGCCACGUGUCAUCUUUCGGAAGUAGUUUUUUUUUGCUGAUGUGGACGCUCUAUGGAGCCUCAAAAGAUCUCUUUUAUUAGUAUAGAUUAUUUUUAGUAAACAGUAAAACAAACACUAUACAUAUUCGAAUAUGCGUUUCUCGUUUUAUGUAUUUGUCUUUUGCGAUUCGUUCCGUAUGAUAGCGACAAGAAAAAGACAUUUUAAUAUAUUUAAACAGAAGUUUAUGUUAUCUAAAAAUCAUUUUCUUAGUUUAAUAAAAAAACCUACUACUAAAAAGAAAUAUGAUAAUAAAUAAUUAAAGUUUGUAGUAAUGUACAAAAAAAAAAGUCUGCUGACAUACGAAACACCAUGAACCUUCUCAUCUUAAAAGCAUUAUCCGCGUUUUGGCGACUAUAAAAUAAUAAAAUUUGUUGAGAAACCACACACGUAAACGUGAUCAUACGUCGGUCCUUCCAAAUAACUACUUCCUCACAUAAUUUUAAAAUAUACCCCUUUUUUUUUUAAUUAUGUGGCUGUUAUCAAACGUAUAUUGUUAACUGUAUGGUUAAUUAAGUUGUUUAUAUAAAUAUAAUCAUAUCAUAGGUGUAGUUAAAUGGAAAUUCUGAUCCAGAAUACUCCCAAACUGAAAUAAUUAAUAUUAAAUUUUUAGGGAAUUUUCAGUAGAAGACAUGGCUAAGAUUAGCUUCAUCUGCACCCACUAACUUUGGAUGAGAGUUUGAAAGGAACCAACAGUUUUAUUUACUCAGGCCCCGAUAACAUUUCAUUGGUUCGUGUUUAAUUGUAAUCAUUUUCUUGUCAUUUUCGUAUAUCCAACGAGUGUUUUUUUAGCAAUUGAUAAAUAAUACAAGUGUAUAUCAUAGAAAACUAUGAAAUAAUUAAGAAUUCAUAUUCUAUAUUUUCCAGAAAACAAUGAAAUAGUUUUUGUUGCUACAUUAACAGCUUAAUCAUAUUCACCGGAAGAUUAUAGGACACAAUUGUAAUUGACAAGCCGGGACUGGCUCUGAGAUUUUGGGAGUUUUAGAUGAUUUUUGUAAAAUAUUCAUUAAAAAAAAUGAUUAAGAAAAUUUGAGAAUUUUUUUUUAGAAAAAUGUGAAAGUCUAUGUAUAUGUAUUUUUUUUUAAAAAAAAUUAAGAACUCUAGACGAAUGUUUCAUCCGGCUUUGCCCAAAACCGGUUCUGCAAUAGAUAGAUCAUUAAAGUAUCAGCAGUACACACAACAUACAAAACUUUGAUGGAUGGUUCAAUAUUUUCUUUAGGUCGAAGGAUGAUUCGGCUCAUAGCCCUUAAAAUCUUCAAAAAAAUAUUGAAUCUACUAUCCAGAAAUUCAUACUUUCUGUAUAUAGAAUUUAAGUUUCUGUAUGAGACACUUAUUUCUUUCUCGCUCAGUGACGAUUAUACGAUAAACUAAACAUUUGUGAACAUAAGAAAAUCUGGUAUAAUAUAUUCACCAUCAUGUACAUCACGCAGAUAUGUAAGGCUCAGCAACCUAGGAACACACAUAGAUUUACUUUCCAGUAAAUAUACAGCAACACUGGUUAAAACAAUUAGUUCAUGAAACAAUGGAGUUUCAAAAAAAAACAAUUAGUUAAAUUAUUUUAAACACUAAAAUGAGCAUAUUAUAUAAUUUAGUUAUCACAUCACUCUCUGCAUAUAAAUAUAUCUGUUGGAGAAUGCUAAUAGUUAUUUGUCCCUUGGCAAUUCUGGCCACUGACAAGUUUUGAUGAUCAUAUUUGAUGAAGACAGUUUUAACUCUAGCAUAAUUUUCCUGAUACAAUAAGACUAUAUAUAUUAAUACAUAUAGCAAUUUGAUCUAUUAAUUAUGAUUAGUGUUAUUAACUAAAAUUCAACAUCAUAACUUCUUUCAUACCUAACAUCCAUAAAGAACGUCUCCAUCGACUUUUCUUUUUGGCCUUAUCGAACUAAGGAGUCAUAUUGUUCCCAAUUAUUACAAUCAUAUACUCAUAUAUUUUAAAAUAAAUACGUUUUUCUUUCUUAUAUGUAUCUUUGAAUGCAAGUUGUAUGUGUAUUAUUAUAUGUUCUACCAUUAUAGUGUUAUUACUUACCCUUUAUGGUUAACCGAAGAGCUAUUAAUUAUGACCCUGAACGUAGGAACUUCUGGAAACAAUAUCAAGAUGAUCAUACAAAACUAAUAAUCAAAGUGGAUAUGUUCAGUAGGGUUUGGGUUUUGAAACAUGAAAGACUAGUCAACUAUUCGUUUAAGAAAUUACAAAACUCAAAUGCUGCCCAGCGAAUGUCUUUCUGUAUAUGUCAUUUGAAAAUAAAAUACACCAUAGGGAAUAAACAACCUUUAGUGCAUAUUUUCUUAUGACUUUUGAUCCGCAGUAAAACAUUAUACCUGUUCGCACGUUCUUACGGCCUUCGUUUCCGAACAUUUUCAACGACUAAGUUUAAAAAAAAAAACAUUUUCAACGGCUAAAAAUCUUAUCAACCCAAAUUAAAUAUAUAGUAUUUACGGUAGUGACAUUUUUGUAUAAUAUAGUAUAGACAUUGCGUUAUAAAAAAUCCACCUAUUCGAAAGAAAGACCAGUAUGAAAUGAAAUUAUUCCUCUCCCGUUGUGAUGUUUGAUUUGAAAUCCAGUAACCGCCUUCUAUACGACUCUUUAUUUAUGUAGAAUGUGGUGGACCAUUCACUUAGAUAAUUGCAAAAGAUGCUUUUCUUGAAGAAAAAGUUUAAAAUAGCUAAGAGUUUUUUUCCUUAUGAUCACUUGACAAUUACAUACACUAGCACAAAAGAACUUGUAAAACAGAGGAGGAUCUAAUCUUAUUAUAAAAUGAAACUAUAUUUAUUUAUAUAGUCUAUAGAGUAAACCAACCAACAUAUAAAACCCAACCCACGCCUCUCAAAAACCGGUUCUACCCAGCUAAUGUAGCCGGUUUAGAUUACCGGACUCGGAAGUAUCCUUAGACCAUGAUUAUCGCGAGUCUUUAAUGGGAUCCUUAACUAAAAUUGAUGAUUUAAUUAAAUCAAAACAAAAUUAAAAGUGUAUAACCGAUCCUUAGUUAAUGGUUUUUGUAACCGAUGAUAGAAAAGUUUCUUAUAACACGUGUCAGCAACAUGUGUUUUUGUUUUUUUUUUUUUUUUUUUUUCUUUUUCUUUUCUUUUCUUCCUCUCCUCUUCUCUCAUCUUCUCACCGUGGAAGGGAACCGGAGCAUCCGUUCAAUCGGCGUUUCUCUCGUCUUCUCCUCUCCGUCGCGAAGCGUCUCCUUCCUUCAAUCGCCGUCAUGUCCGUCUUUCUCUUCUCUGGUCUUCUCCGAUGGUAAAGGAAGCGUCUCCUCCCUUCAAUCGUCGCUCGUCCAAUCGCUGCGACCCCAUCUCCUCUCUCUUCUGACCGGUGAGAUCCUUUUCAGAUCCUUCUUGUAAUGGAAUUAAGUGUCUUGUAAUGGAGUUAAUGUAUGUUUAUGUGUCAUGGACUGAUAAUCAUGCUUCUGUAAUGUCUUGUGCUUUUCUGUGUCACGGACUGAUAAGUGGGAGCAUUGAGAGAUUCAUCACAGAGUGGAGCAGUGGGAGCAUCUCAUGCUUGUUGUUUCACAGAGUGGAGCAGUGGUAAAAAGUCUACUUUUCUUGAAGUCUUGGGUUUUGUCGCUUGUUAGACUUAGUUUAUGGUAAGUGAAUAUGUGUGUGUUGAAUGCUUGAAGUACUUGAUAGAGGUGGUUAAUAAAUGCAGCGCGGAGUUAGGUUGUGGUUAGUGAUUAGCGUGUGAUGAAUGCUUGUUUAAGUUUAAGAAGAAUCUCUGUUCUUGCUCUGUUUAAGUUUCUUGUGUGAUGGUGUUGUUAAACGAGUGUGGCAUGUUUCUUGUUCUCUUAUGAAGUUACCGUAUUUAUGUUUAUGUUUCAUAUAUAUACUCUUGUUUUCUACGCAGGUAACACGACACAAGACGAGGCAGAUGUGAGCACACGAGUCACGGAGUUGGGAGUGGAAGAAUCACAGACUUGGGAGUGGAAGGAUCACGUAUUCAUCUACACUCUUCCACAAGUAACCACAAACAAGUAAUUUUUUUUUCUUUUUAAGAAACCCAAAUUAAGAACCUACCAUUGUAGCUUAAAAAUUAGGUGAUUUUUAACUAAGGUUUUUAGCUAAAAUUUAUUAGUUAAAUAAUCAUUAAAGUGUACUUAAGAAACCUUAUGGGUUUCUAGGGAUAAUGAUGCUCUUAGUAUUACAAAUUUUGUCAUAUCUACCUUUUCUCUCCCUAUAUUUCUUAGUUAUUUACACUUUCCUCCCCUCUCAUUUCACUUACAUAACAGAACACCCGUUUGGAUUCUCAUCGCUAAACAUUUCAGGAGCACGCAUAUGAGCAUAAGGAUCUGCAUACCCUUGGUGGUUCAUAUACGGUGGUGGUGGUGCUUGUUGUCCAUACCCUUGGCCGUAUCCUUGAUUCAUAUAAGAUUCAUGUACGUAUCCUUGGUUCACAUACGGUUCUUGAACAUAAGAUUGAGAUGAUUGACCUUGCAUCAUGUAGUGUUGUUGACCGUACACUUGUCCUGGUGGGUUGUAAUACAUCGGCUGAGGUUGAUACCCAUAACCGCUAUACUCCGAUUUCUUCACAUCCAACGUAGCACCACCGUCACCUCCUCCGGCUGAGGCAACUUCUUUCUUCUUUUCACCACCACCGUCCUUCUUUUCACCACCAUCUUUAUUUUCUUUCUUUUCACCAACACCUUUGUCCUUCUUCUCUCCACCAGCUGGAGCCGCCGCAGCUGCCACGGUGGCUCCCUCCUCUUUUUUGGGCGGAACAACUUCGACGGUGCGUUUAAGCUUCUCGUUGAGAUAAGGAGUGAGUUGUUUAACGUCAAUGAUCCCCUUCACUAUCACCAAGUCCUUGGUGCUAUCAAUGGCCACUGAUUUAACCCCUGUAUAAAAUAAACAUUCACACCAUUAAUUAACUAACUGUAAUUAAUAGAAUAAUAAAUUAAUCUCAUAUAUUAGGCUAACCACUUCAUAGCUAACCAUUUGAUAUGUUUUCACUAAAAUAAUAAAUUGAGAAGCUACCUAGAGGUAGGUCAACCUAAUUAUAAUGAUAUUUAAUCUCUUGUUGCUUCCGUUAUCUUCCAUCACCAACCGUAUCAAUUUAAUUAAUACUAAGAACGCUUCAAAAAUGGAUCUGAUUAGGAUAAUAAACUCACCCUUAAUUUUGUUGACUAUUCUCUUGAUUUUGUGCUCGCAACCUUCGCAAUGUAGUUUCGUUUUCAGAACCACCGUACUCUGCAUCACAUCAGAAAUAAUGAUUAAUCUUUGAUUUAAUUAUAAAAGUCGUAAUAAUAUAUAUAUUUUUAAAACAUCUCAACCAAUGAAUUGGAUAAGAACGAGUGUAAUUUCCGUAAAGGUUUAGAAGUGCAACACACGUUAAAGACCACAAGCAAAUGGACUUAAAUAUAUUUAUAUACUUUUAAAUAUAUGUGACAAAAGAGUUUUUAAUGGAAGAAAUAAUAAUUACAGAGAUAGAGAUGUUAUUAUUACCUCUUUUGGUGGAGCAGGAGGAGAAGGAGCUUUCUUCUCUCCUUCGUCUUUCUUCAUCUCAACUUUUUUCUCACCGGCGGGUUUCUCAUCGGCCGGCUUCUUUUCAGCUGGUUUCUCCUCCACCACCUUCUUUUCACCGCCUGAAGGAGGAGGAGCCUCUUUCUUAGGCGCCACGGUAGAGACUAUUUCAACCUUUCUCUUCAUUCUCUCGGCUACUUUAUCACGAACUGCCGUGGGAUCUACGUUUCCGACCACCGUCAACUUGUCAUCCUUAUAAUCAAUCUUCACAUCUUCUACGCCUGAACAAGAACCAGAGAAUUUAUGUUUGCUAUGGUUUUAAACUAGAUAUGCCACCAUAAACUCACAUAUAUAUAGAGAGAGAGAUGACUAUGUAUACCUUUGUGUUUUUUCAAGAUUCGUUUGAUUUUCUUGCCACAACCUUCACAAUGCAUAUCAAGCUUCAUAACCACGACGGUGUUAUUACCACCAUCGACUGGCUUCUUGUCUCCUUCAGGUUUCGUCACGGUUUCUUCCUUUUUCUGCUAAUUUAACCAUAACGUUAAGCAACAAAACAUAGAGAGAUCGAGAGUGAAGAAUAAGAAGAAGAAGGAGAUUAGUAACUGACUGACCUCACCCAUCGUAGUAGAUAGAAUCAGUAUUUUUGAUUCUGAAUAUACUCUGGAAAAGAUCGAGAGAAUAUUAUGUUUUCAAGACACGAAAAAGUAGGAAGAGGAGGAGGAAUAUAUAUAGACCGAGGGUGUGUGCUUAACAAUGAUGGUAAUGAUGAUACAUACUUUAUAUUGAUCAUGUGUAUUUUAAUAUUUAAUGACAUGCAUAACACAAGGGUCUGGAUUAGUAGGCGAGUUUGUUUAUUUUCUUGCCGCCGAGUUGGACUUAUCACUAGGUGGGCCCUUUCAACGAGGUUAAACAACGGCGUUUACAAUUUGACCGCGUUACUUUAUAACCAGAAUUGAAUUGAUGUAAAAUGACGGAGCUAUGCUCAGCCCAUUGAGUUAUUUUCGGCCCGUUUAAUUUGACUUUAUUAGUCAGAAUCAAACUUAUUUUGCCUUGACUGUAACAUGUAAUCAUCCCUAAUUUGUUUCAUUUUUUUUGAGCAACGCUUUAUUUUUUUCAGAAUAAAACACUUUCAUAUUUGAAUUGGGUUUUUUUUAAAAAUUGAUAUAUUUUAAAAUUAAAAUAAAAAAUAAAAUUUAUAUCUCUGUUUUCAAAUAAUUUAAUUUUUAUUCCAUUAUCAAAUUGAAAUAAAAGUAAACUUAGUGAAGUUUUUACUUUAAAAUUUUUGCAUAUUUUUAUGCAGUUAUAUUUGUCAACCAUCAAUAGAAUCGACUCCUACAUUUUUUUUCUUAUUAUCUUUAAGCAGCCAUAGCCAAAUAUUUGAACUCUUCAUCUCAUAUAGUGUCUUCGUUAACAAGAACGAUCACGUUCCAAAUCUUCAACUAUGAUAGCAACACUGAAUAUUCCCAACAAUGUUUUGAGACUGUGUCGAUUUUGGUUAACGAAACAUAAACAAUAAGACUAUUGUCUUAUUGGUAAGAUCAUAUCGUAUAUACAUUCACUUAAAAAAAAAGACAUUUACUUUCUUUUUUUUUUUGCAUUCUUGUAUACACAAUCCAUUUCUUGAUACUAUUGAUGUUUAGUGUUUAUUCGACAUUUAAUUAAUACAUAUUUGAUUGUGUUUGGUUAAUUGAAGUUGAUGCUGCAUGAUUAGCAUAUGCUUGUUGUCAUGGAAGUGAAAUAAUUUACUUGAGUAAUUUAGCCUACGAAAAUUGAAAAAUGAAUUGUUUGGCAUCCUAACUCAAAGCUUAAUCAUUCUUGAUCAAUUAUCUAUGUCCAUAUGUUCAAUUUUGGCAAUCAAUUAAAAGUUUAUCUUAGCUCAAAGCUUAGUCAUUCUUGAUCAAUUAUCUAUGUCCAUAUGUUCAAAAUUUAUCAAUCAAUUAAAAGUUUCUCUUUGGUACUUAAUUAAAUCUAAAAUCUUCUAGUUAAAGUGUAUAGUUUUUAUUUUGUCACUACAAACUACUCUUAUUGCUUAGAUUAAAAAAUAACUUGUAUUUUGGGGAUGAGACAUUGUUAGAAAGAAAGUGAAAAACCCUAAACGUCUGCUAAUCUUAAACCCUAAAGCCCUGCACUUGCUUCAUUUCCAAGAGUUUCCAUUUUUGGCUUCUCUGUUUAUUAUUAAUGACACACUAUGUUUCUUCAGUUAAUAAUGGUGCAGCUGUGUUUUAUAUCAAUUUUAACCGUUUGAAAUUAGUGGGUAAACCGAAUCCCGGUUAACAAUCAGUGUAACAUUAUCCAGUUCAAGAUUUCUCCUAUGAUCUCCUAUUCUGGUAGCUUAGGGGGUAGACUACUCAGUAUAAAAAUUACAGUUUAAGGUAGAAUAGUAAUAAUAUAAAUAUAUAUGUGUGUGUGUGCCUUGUAAAACCAAACAGAGUUAGGGUCAAGUUUCUGAAAUCAAGUCUCUUAUUAGAAUGCAACAUAAACGUAUAUAAAAGCAACUAUUAUUCUUUAAAAAGUGUUAAACUCUGAUCCUAUUCUCUCUGGUUUCUUUCUCUCAUGCACUGAAGCAGCCUCUCAUGCUCUACCGGCAACUAAACCUGUAUGGCUCUGUAUCUAUUUCAUGUCUACGAAUACACCUUCCUUGAAUCUCUUGCAUAGAGCCUGCACGCCUGAGUCAAUCCGUGCAUUAUCCUGUUGAAGAAAAAAAUAGUAACGAAACUUAUGAAACUUGAAAAAAAAUGAGGAAAUAAAUGAAAGCCAGAUCUUGUGUGUUUGUUUGUACCUUCCCCUUCAAGCAGAUGAUGAUAGGACCUUGUCUGGAUUUCCGGUAACACCCUGUGAAGAAGAUUGAGAUUAAGCAUAGAGAGUUAAGAUGCUCUGAGACAGGUCAAAGAUUUUAUACCAAUGUAUAUGUCUGGGAACUCGAGACCAAGUUUGGUUAGAGGCUCUGCAACUUCAACCUGCAUUUCAAGAAAAUACAAUUCAAAGUCACUACACACACAUCACCAUGAAUCUAUUGGGAACUAUGAGUCUUGGUUACACACAGAUUCUUGCAUGAAAAGCAAAGAAGUAGCAACAAGGCCAUAGCAAACAAAUUGAAAAGGUAAAACAUACAUCUGUCAAAGAUGUCAUCAAGCGCCUUGACGACGCAUACAGCUCCAUGAGUGAUGUACUUCCACCCAAUUUGGUUAGCUCGGUCAGACAUUCCCACUCCUUCUCGAGCUCCUCGGUGUUUGUAGCAGCAAGAACAAUCACAUUGCGGCACUUUAUCUACAUAUAUUGAUCAGUGAUCAAAUGGGUAUGGAAGGAUAAGGAUACUUGACUUCAAGUGGCGUUGUGGGUUGUGAGAGCACCUACCAAUGGCACCGAAAGCUUUUCAUGAUGCAGUAGUUCAGUGAUUCCUUCCGGUAACUGAGCCAUCUGAAUUGACAAAAGCAAUCAACUUAGUGAGGAACCAUAUACGCAACAACAAUGUAUGUACAAACCAUAUCAAAACGACUCUGAUGCUAUAAGUUUUUAGCUAUUUUGUCUGAAAAUAUACUAAUCCAUUAAAAUGGUUGUUUUCAAGACUGAACUCACUUCAUUCCUGUCACCUGUGCACUGCUCGCUGAUAAGAUGCCUAAGGUACUCCUCAAACUCUUCAUCAGGUGCCUGAAUAAACCAACUUUAUCAGCUUCUUACACUACAACUGAGUGGUGAUUAUGGCAAUUAUCAAACUAUCUUAACCACAAGCCUGUCUUAAAAUGAAAGAGAAACUUACCAGGCGAACCCCAAAUGCCUUAGCAACACCAGCCAGAGUAACAUCUGAAUGCAAAGGACCAACUCCUCCAUAUAUAAACACCUCCAAAAAGCAUCAACCACAUUAAAUCUAUCAGUCUCUCUUUGCAUUUUAUGCUCAUGUGUUUUAACGAACUUACCAUAUCACAGAUAGACCUUUGGCGGUCAACUUCCUCUGAUACAGAAUCAAUCUGUUUAAAAAAAACACAGAGAAGACUGAUUUACUUUCUCUGGUUUAUUGAUGCAACAAAGAACAAUGAGUAAAAAAUCUUACAUCAUUUCGAAUAACAGAAGUUUGUUGCACAGACCAACCAACAGACGUCAGCUUCUUACACAGACACAGUCCUAACUGGUCUUCAACAGUGCCGGACCUGAGCUAUGGAACAGAUAUAUAUAUCAUUAUUGUUCUGUUGACACAAAUAAAGAGCCUUAGAAUAAUGACUUACAGAAUCUCAUCGCCAACGGCAAUGACCGAGGCCAAAAGCACCUCAUGUUUAUGCGAAUCACUAUCUGCAUCAUUCUUGAGUGAAGCGUUUUUCUUAACUCUGCCUGCCCUCUCUAACCUCCCAUCAGAAAGCAAAUAAGCAGGUUUGAAUAAUUUCUCUUUGCUACUGCUGGUGGUGUCGUUAACAGACAGUAACGCGUUGGGGACAGUAUCAUGAAUACUCCCAAUUGAUGUGUACCCUUGGUCAUAAAGACUGCAAUACUUGACUUUGCAAGUUAGAAGAAACGCCCAAACAUCUCUGCAUAGGAAAAAACUAAAAAAUAUCAGAAUAAAGAACCUUUUUAUGGGUGCAAGUUGAUAGAUCAAUAAACUAUUAUUAUUAUAUGAUGAAUGAGAAAAAAGGGAUACCUAUAAGACCAAUCCAAAAUAGGAUUCACUCUCAUAAAGGGAGGCCAUCCAGGGGAACUAGGAGAGAACUGCUCUUGACCAACCUGGAAACAAACAAUCAAUCACAAUGAUCAAACUUUUUAACAUGUUGUACAAAAUAUUUGAAUAUGAAUGUUGAGAUUUGAAGGUGAAGCUAACCGCAGUAGGAUCACCAAUUCUGACGCCUAGAAAAAUAGCUCUAAUAGGAUUAGCUUUUAACAAAGCCUCCAACCCGGAUUUGAAAUCUUGGCGAAUGAUAUCAAGUUGCAGAUCAUAACUGUCCAUACAGCAUAAGAUGAUUAGCCAACCAACCAGCAGAAAAAAAAUGUAAAUGGUAAGUGCAGAGCUUUCUCUUACGUUUGAGCUGCAUCAUAUGUAAAUGAAUUAAUUUCAGUGAAGGCAGAAGGGCUCUCGAAGUAUAUGGUCCGGACUGGAAAGUUUGAUAUGCCUCCAUUAGAACAAGUGAGUUCUUUCUUAUGCAAAAAGUAGCCGGCUCUAAGAAGGUGCAGUAACACCUAAAGUUCAUUAUGAGAGUCACUACUCUAUUACUCAGGAGAAUAGAAAAGAUUAAAAACAGGAAACAGUUUUGAACUUACAGUGGAAUCUUUUCCUCCAUUGAAACUAAAGGCGACCUCUUCAAUACUGCACAAGUUAUAGAGAUUGAAGAACCAGUUAAGGAUAUUGCAAUAAAUGAUCUUGACAAUGAUCACUCACACACAUGUCAAACAAGAAAUGGACAGGAAGCAUAUCAUUAAUUUUCAAAAAGUAGAAAACUUUUAUAACUGCUAAUGUCUUGUCCAAUCCAAUCGAUUUAAUAAAAAAAGACCAUAAGAACCAGAAAAAGAGUUAUAAAGCUUAGCUUCAUGUCUUUGGUCAAAGUUUUGUAAGACAAAUGAAUCUGAAGAUGAAGACUUGCAAUAAGAGAAGAGAGGAGAGAGCUGACGAGUAAAGAGAAAGAGCUCUUCUGAUGACGAAGAUGGCGUUGUUGUACUUGGUCUUCAACCUCUUAUCAUCACUUUCUCCAAUCGCUUUGUCGAUCUCCAUCUCUCUCUUCUCUCCUGUGGCAACAAUGAAAAGACAAAUCCAAAAUGCUCUCAAAGCUCAGAAUCUAGUAAACCGAGAAAAGACAAAUGCUUUGAAAUUCGAGAUGGUUCAUCAGAUUGAGAGUAUCCAUAGAUUCAGGAGCUUUCGGACAAGCUGAAAGUUCUCACCUUUUUCCGACAACUCGAAAAUGGCGUCGGAAGUUCAAUUAGAUUGCUUCUCGAAAUGAAGAAGAAGAAGAAAGGAGACAGAAAGGAGAUAUUCGUUUCGGACAAUGUGAGAUUCUUUCACUAAAGGUUGGAACUUUAUGGAUAUAUUUAAAUUCUCUUAUAAAUAUAUAUAAAUACAUUCCAAAGUUCCAUCCUUUUAUUCCCACACCUUGAUUUAUCUAAAAAACCCACCUAAAAUCUUAAAAUGUGAUAUAAAAACAAAACAAAAAAAAUCUAUAUAUAAAAAUAAAAUAAAACUGAGAAAGACAAAAGCUUUGCUCAUUUUAAAUUUUCUUAUUUGCAGAAAUUAGAUCCUUAUAAAUUCCUACGUAAUUAACUUUAAUGCUGAAUUUUCAUUUCCAGUCAAAUAAUAGUUCUAUAUCUAUUCUAUUAAGAAGCUUCGCUUUCAUAGGAUUAACGAAUGAAUAGUUAUGUAGCAAGUCACGGUCCAAUGAUUUUGCUUUUAUGACAACUUUUCUCUGAGUGAGUGCGCGUGCGUGCGUUUAAACACCUAAUCGCAGUCGCACACCGCAACAACCAAUAGCGUCGCUCGUAUCAAGGUCAUACACGUUUUCUUAACCCACAUCCCACGUUCAUCUCUGACUUUUCACACUACGUAUCAUGUUCUAUAAAGAAAAUAACAACUUUUAUAACAAAUUUUUCAAACUAAGCCAUUUACAUGAAAGUAGGCCAUUAAAUUCUCUAAUGAAAUAUACUAAGUAAUUAUACUCACCCAGCAAAUAACAAGACCGACCUUAGCUCAGUUGGUAGAGCGGAAGACUGUAGUUGUUGCUGUAAUCUUUAGGUCGCUGGUUCGAUUUCGGCAGGUCGGAUUAUUUUUUACCUCAGCGGCUAUUUUCUUUACAAUUUAUUGCGUAAGGUUUUCAAAUCAUGUAUUUAUUUCUUGAAAUCAACCAAUGAUUCAAAAGAUUUUAAAUUAAGCAACUCGUAUUUACAACUACAUUGCCAGUAAUUUAUCCAUGUCUACAUGUAAGUAUUGGCUACUUAGACUGCACCUAAGACCAAAAGAUAGAGAUACAAACGAUGGACAGGUUAGCCUCUUUACAUGUAUGUUUGCUCGUUCCUAAGAAGCUGCAAUCUAUCAUCCGUCAAGAGACCGAGCAGAGUGUAACCAUUCACGUUAGCGUAUUUCACGUCUUGAAGUGGAUGAUGACUCGCCAACGAGAAUCUCUGAGAGACGGCGAAAGUCGAAGGAUCUUGCAAGAUGAGCUGGCGAGUGGACUCCUCGCAAGACGCAAAAAGCUGCUUCCUUCCUCCCUCGCCAAAGUCUACAAUCGAUGUUCUUGGCAAACGGAUGGUAUCUACGGAAGCAUGUGUGGAUGAAAGCUUCUGAAAACAAAAACCUCGUCUCUUGAGAGAAACAUGGAAUCCAUCUACACCGAUGGUGUUAGCUCCGGUUUGAGUCAACGUAGGCUGAGUAGAGACUGUAUCAUCAGAGGAUCCAACUCUCGGUCUAUAAGAAGCAACGACAUGAUCGCUCCAGGGACAAUAUGAGGAUGAAAUGCAAACUCCUGGGUUUCCAGUUUCAGGAACCAAUGAUGGCCUAAACAAACACAAGAAAAAAAAAUGAAUUGAUAAAACUUCUCUAAGCACGAAUCCAUGUGAAAGAAGCACAAAACCUCACCUUCCCUCGCUGCCGUUGAUGUUCCACUGACAAAGACCGAUGGAAGAAGCGGACAAGAGAGAACACACAUCAGAACUUGGAGUGGAGUUGGUAGAGAGAUGAUGGAUAGUAUGAACUGGAUUGCUUGUUAAGCCAGCGAACGAUGCCAAUGGUCCCAUGGUUUGACGCAUGUCAAACAAUAAAACCAUUCCGUUCUGUGAAAGAAGAACGUUAGGAGACGCAGGUAAAGUGGAAUGAGCAAAGAUUAAUAAAAUGAUUAAAACCUGCAGUCCAGCAUAAAUAUGGUGAGAACUGUUGCGAUCCCAAGAGCAAGACCAAGGUGCAGCCUACAAGAGCAAAAGGUAAAGUGAUCAUAAAAUCAAUCCUCUAAAAUCAUAUUCAAAGCAAAUUUCAUGAGAGAUGGUCAAAAGACUGUAUAGCUUACCGGUAGAUCAUAAGAUAAGACAGUGUUGUGGCUCUCCAAGCUGAACAAUUGAAAAGAUAGGUAAUUAGGACAACAAUGAAAUCACCACAGGAGUGGAAGCUUGCUGAAAAGGUAGCAAUGUCCGAACCUUAUAACUGAUAACUUUUUUCCUAGAGAGCCGAAAACUGCAAGCCCAUUAUUGUGUGGGGAGAUGUGAAGAUCUUUUAUUGCUCUAGUUGUUGGAGGCAGCAUAAUGUCAUCAAUCUCACCCGAAUGUAGGCUCAUCUGAGAUACAUAUUAUUGGAAAAAGUCAUAUAGUUGCAUCACUUGGUGUAAGAAAAAAAAUCAAGAGGCCAAGAAUAACAAACUUACUUGCGAAAGCACAAACGUUCCACCAACGCCUGAGAGCCUGCGAGCCAAUAACAAAAUCUGUCUACCGCCAUCUAUGUCAAAUAUACGGCCACCAUUAACUAGCCGUUCUCCCUACCGAAAAAAAUGGAUGAAAUUGCAUCAGACACAUAGACAAAAACGAUACUUUACAGCCAAAAGUUCUAAAACAAUGGGUCUAAGAUAGAACACCUGAUGCCUGAAGCUGCAAGAAGGCGCAUGUCCAUUCUGUUCUUGGUAGAUCUUAUUACCUACAUAUAAUGCCCUUACAAAUGUUUAGAUAGGUAUUUGUAUCACAUUUCAAGAAAACCAAAAACAGACAAUUAUUUCACUUAAAGAUAAACCACUGUGUGUGUUGCAACCAUGAAGCAUGUUAUAUUGUAAUUACCAGGUGUAUAUUUCUCUUGAGAAGCCACGUUAGACUCUCUCAGUGCAGCAUUAGUCGUGCUUUCCAUAUAAGCUAUCUUCUGCAAAACCAAAGUUUCCAGCCUUGAACUAUCUAAAAAGAGAAACAAGUGCCAAUAGUGACCAUGUUACAACGAACACUUAGACUGUACCUUUUUCAGCUUACUGACUUCUGAUCGUAGCUCUGCUUCUCGUUUUCUCCAUUGAGCUUCUUUGCUAGUCCAACUAGCAUUCUACAAGAUAUUUAAGAGUAGAGUGUUAAAACUCUACGAGACUAGUACAAAGUGCUACACACAUGUUACUAAUUUACUAUCAAAUGACAGUCUGACACAAGCCAUAACCAACAUAGAUGACAUAAUAAAGUGAACACAUCAAGAGGCAAGGUAGCAAUUUAAAGAAGUAAGCUCAGAAUACUACAGUAAUGUGUCUUACCUUCUGUUCGAUUGAAUUUAAUUUACCCUCCAGGAAUAAGAUUCUCUGUGAGAACAUAAGAAAAAAAAAACGAAAAUCAGAUUUUGAUAAAUAUCUUACAGCAACACUGAAUAUUCUAACCUUGUGUGCGUCAUCAUCUACAGCAGCAAUCCUUGAUGCAAAUAUUUUCCGGACAUCUCUAAGACCACACGUCCUGUUGCAUUGGGGACACUGUAGAAGAAGAAAGAUAAAUGUAUCAAUCAUCAAUAACACAGCAAAGGGAUGUGGAGAAGCACAUUAACAACCACAAACACACACACACACACACCUUUCCUGCACUUCUUGGCUGCUUUAACCAUUUCUUGAUGCAAGAAAAUCCAUACAAAUGCCCACAAGGAAGACAGCUUCAAUCGUCACCAAGAAAAAAAAUAAACAAAAGGAAACUAUAAGUUUCACUUCGCAAUCAAUUGAAGAAACCUAAUCAUCUAAUUACAGCCCUAGAUUAUCAAAUUGAUGGUUUAAUUUAUUCACACAAACAGUGGAAUCGAGUAUAUAUAUACCAGACUUGAUGAUCGCCGCCGUUAGUCCAAACCUCCAUACAAAUCAAACAAGACGUUCCCUCACCCUCGCUAGGUUUCCACGCCGCAUCCUCUUCCUCCUGCGAUCCUGAAGUCGAGCAAACUCCUUCUGCUGACCUUAUCUGCUUCUCUUUCUCCUCACUCUCCUCCUGAGAAGCCCUGGGCGUGUGUGACACAGAUGUAUGUACUCUGAUUUGGCUUUCUUCGUCUUCUUCUUCCUCUUCUUCGGUGUCGUCGUCUUCUUCUUCUUCUUCCUCUUCUUCCGUGUCGUCUGCUUCUUCUUCGUCGUCGUAAUCGUGUCCGUCUUCUUCAUCGAAUUCUUCGAUUGUCACUCCGCCACCUCUGAAGGCGUAACGCCGGCGGGGCGGCAUUAGGGCGACGUCCGAAACUGAGCGCCAAAGGAAGAAGGAGAAGACCAACAGUUAGCGCUGAGUACUUUCUUCGAGAUCUCGAGGAAUUAAUUAAAAUUCGGAAUAAACAUAAGAAGAGAUAUAUACACAUUUUAGAUAGCAGAACAAACCCGCUGAAUGAAUUAGAGUGUCUCAUAUCCAAAUUAAAAUAUAAAAAAAUUCAAAAAAAUAAUUAUUGCGGUGAGCGUGGAUCGAACACGCGACCUUCAGAUCUUCAGUCUGACGCUCUCCCAACUGAGCUAUCCCCGCUUGAUGUUUUUUAAAGAUAUAUAUUUAAAAUAUCGCAAAACGAAAUUUUUUUUUGAAGUAUAAAGCAAAGCGACGACUUGGGGAAAAGUAGAUGAAAUUUUGGAGAGAUCUAUCUGCGAUUAUUUUUGUCGAAAUUCCCAAUUCCUGAGUCAAGAACCCUAAUUUCAAUAUGGUAAGAUUCGUUGUUCAAUUUUGUGGCUUUGCUGAAUCAAACAUCUCAAUUCUGCAGCUUCCAUUUCGGAUUUGUUUUUUGUUUUAAAACAGAUGAUGAUAUUCUAUUCCACAGGUUUGCAUAAUGUGUUUGGUGCCGCUGUUCCUCAUCCCUCUCGUCAAUUUACUGCCUCGGAUCUUUGAUUUGUUAAUGGUAAAACUGGAUCUUGCUUUGUUGAUGAUCUUACGUGUUUGAUUUUUCUUCUUCGAUAAGAAUGAUCAGAUUCAUGGGGGUAUUAUUAAAAAAGUUAGGAACCGUAAUUGUUUUGGAGAUUGUUUCAUGUUUAGAAAUAAAAUUGUAGAACUAAAUGAGGAAGACGAAGAAGAAGAAUAGUCUGUAGAGGUCAUGUUUUUUUUGAAUCUUGCAAGUAGUUUAAGUAUAAGAUGUCUUGUUUUUUUGUAAUCAUUGGUUGGUUUCUUGAGUUUUGUCUGUUCAUGUUUGGAAACUAGGCCAAAGUGUAUGGAUGGUUCGGAUGGGAAUACAGGAAGCCAGCGAGAGUUCCUCCAGCUUGUCCUUUCAAGCCAACUGUCACCAAAGUAAGCUGAAAUUAUCUACUCACGUCGUUGAGUCUUUUCUUAGUUGAAGCAGUUUAGCUGAUGAAAUGCGCUUAAGUUAUUGUUCUUACGUUAUAUUUCAGAUGAUCCAAUUAGUUUGCUUUACUAUCUGUCUUGAAUAUUCACUAUCUUGAAUCUGAACAUCUGGUUGCUUUUGUGAAUCUUAACACUUGAUGUUACAGGUAGCUGCAGAAACAAUAAGUGAAGGUACAGAAACGAUAGCUAAACCGGAGGAUACCACUGGUGGGGUUAAGCAGGAUUGAACCUUUAGUCGUCCUCCCUCCUUUAAUAAAGCUUUUAACAUUCUGUGGACAUGUUUUGGAUAAGAGAGGAACCUUUGUGUGUGUGUGUCAUAAUAAUGUACGUUCAAAG